UAGCCAACCCGGGUUCACUCGGGGCGUGCCCAUACACGCCGCACCGUCCAAAGACCAAACCUUGCCUAAGGCGUAUACAUGACAUAUGUAUGUUAUGACUUGUUGUUUUAAGCCCUGGCGCGGCCUGCCCGCUCGCCCAGCUCGCGAAAUGCAGCGACAUGCCCCGACAAUGUACACGAAGAGCUGCUUUUAGCCCUCGCAAAGCCUUGAAUUUCCAUUCUCAUAGCUGAAAGUAGACACGGCACCAAUCACGGCUUGAAAAAAUGGCUCCUCGAGGGACCUCGGUCGCGAAAUUGCCGGUCGGCAGAGCCUCACAUUUUGCCCCGGGAUACGUUCCAAUGCAAUAUUGGGUAUCUAAAUAACAUAUUGAGUGAGUUACUGCUCUCUCCAGCACACUUGGGCCCGAUCGGACCGACACGCGCCCAUCGGGCACAUGCCUGGCGGGCCAAAACCCGCCCAUUUCGACCUCAGGCGAGCGCGGACCGCCCCCCCACUUGACCAGCAAGUCAUUACUACAUGCACAGAGGGGCUGAGAGCGUGGGGGACUCAGGGGAGACCAGUUUGGCCACGGGGACCCCCCUGCCCACCCCCAUGACCCCCCGCACGGGAAGGGCCGUACGGCAGUGGUAGUACUGUCGGACGGUGAAUCUGACACGACAGGCGUAAGGUAGGCAAGGUUGGUUUCCACGUCGGACUGUACUACCACGACUAAACACAGGUCCAAAGGUUGUGCAGUUUUGGGACGGUGCCCCAAACUGAAGUGAACCCGGGUUGUGUAUAGCCAUAAGUCAACACGCACGACUGAGCCGCACUGAGUGGAACUGAAGGGAACUGAGGGUCGCGUUUCCACAUCCCUCUCUCACCAAGUUUGGCGUAUUCUGGUUCAAACUCCAAACAGGUUUCAGGCAACUGUUGAAGGUGACACGCACACACAACGGCAUAUGUUUUAUCGUCUCUCUCAGAAUAGGCUGUCAUCCCUGACUGCAUCGCCCCGGUACGCUCGGUUCAAUCAAGGCACAUCAUGGACAACAGUUUAUAUCGUGGCUUUGAGACCUGCCGGUGUUGUCUGGUUAGCGACCUGUGCUGACGAGGAUGGCGUAGCGGGCAGUCAGCUGCAGCGGCAAGGGUGUUGAGAGGUUUUCCUUGCUGUCUGGUUGGCCUGCUGCCUGCUGCACUAGUGCUUGAUAGCUGGGCGCGACUGGGCACAUAUGGCGGGCGGUGCCUGUACAAACCGACCCCGGCUAUGUCCGGGAGAUGAGGCUAGUAUCGGAACCUUCGGCCUCAGACGGAGGACGUGGCGUGGCGGCACAGCCCACUUUUCCCUUGCGAGGGAGAGCCACCUUUUCUUGUCUUGUCAGUGACCCUUUGGUAGCCUUCGCCGCCAACCUGUGGCAUUAGCUCGAAUCGAUAUCCAUCAGUAGCACCCAGCGCCCCCCGCCCACCUUAAAAUCGGUAACUUCAGCACCCCCGAACCCCAGCCACCCCCCGCAUACACGUUCGAGAGCGCACAUGAGCUGGCCCAACCGUCAACCUGUCUAUCUAUCCGUUCCCAGUGCCCGGCCACCCCCGCACAUGCGCGUUCAUCACCCAGGUCGUCAAGCAGUCGUUUGUCCAUGGACGCGCGAAGGCACUUCUCGCUGUCGCCUAUUUACAUGCAAUAGGCAAUAGCAAAUACUAAUACGUGGCAGUCACGGUUUGUGCCAGUAUGAUACUUUUUGCCGACGCAGCCACGAACCGCGCCGCGUUAACUGCCCCACACGUAACUUCAGCACCCCCGAACCCCAGCCACCCCCCGCAUACACGUUCUCGGUGCUGCUCCCCUCCGGCUUGGAAACGCCUCUAGGGAGGUUCCCUAGAGGUUAAUUCCAAGCAUCGUCAGUCUGCAAUCACCUCCUCGCCCCACACAAACGCCCAAGCACUCGGCAAGUCUCGCAACAACGUACGUCCACGUAACGCAAAGCCCAGCAGUAGGCCAAACACACAGCCACAGCCGCACCCACAUGCCCCGGGGAUGCAAUGUAGGGGUCAUGCGCGCGCUAUUCACGUUCCGCCGCAGGCGGAGAGCACCGCACGGACCGGGGUGAUAACAAAAAUCUACACACCCUGCUGCACAGGUACUGAAACAUCCACUCCCUGCCCUCUGAGCGUCCAGCCUUCAACACGUAGCCUGUUUCAUACAUCUUAGACGGAAUGCACGGAAUACACAGAAGCAUGAAGCGUUCCUACACCUACAUAGGUACCAUAUGACUCUCACAGGCCCGUCACGCCAAUGAAGUCACCGAAGCAGCGGCAGCGAACAGGAAGGAUCGCGUUGCUGCCCCCAAAGUCAUUGCCGUAGAAGGCCGCCAGCACUUUGAACGCCUCGUGUUUGAGCUGCAGGACAUCGUUUCGGGUCGCCGGGAAGCAGUCGCCCGGCGGGCGGCUUCCCACCGCCGGGUCGGUGGCCUGCGAGGGCGCCUUCUCCCGCACAAGCGGCUGCAGUGGCUCGGUGGCGCCCGCCCUGCUGUUGCACACUCGCGCGUAGGCGUUGUGGCUGCUAGCUGCCACCUGCGCCUCCAGCCGCUGCACGCUCACGUUGAGCUGCUGCUGGCUCGCCUCCAGCUUCUGCUGGCUCGCCUCCAGCUUCUGCUGGCUCGCCUCCACCUUCUUAACGCAGUCCGUGGUCUCCUUGAGGGUCUCCAUGAGCUCAGCCUUGAAGUCCUUGAACAUGCCCUCAAUGCGCGCCAUGUCCACGUUACGUCCGUCGGCACCUACAGCCGGUGGCCACGGGCGGUGCGGCCGGGGGGGGGGGGAGGCGGAUUCAAAGUCAACAGAAGUGGAGUGUUGGCUUCAGGUCAGAACCGGGCUUGAAGAGGGAACAGUCCGAUUAGGGACCGUCGAGUGCAGCUAGGGGACCAACUUGACGCCACCCAUUUCUGCUGGGUUGCUGCAAACCCUCCUCAACGAUAUCUCCAAGUCAAUCCAAUUCAUUGCCAAGACCGACGCCGACCCGCUUGCAAACCACGCAUGUCGUGGUGUGUUAACACCCGUUAAGGCCCUGACAUACAUCAUACCUGCCGACAUCGCCAGCUGCGCGUUUUCCGCGACCUUGACGACCACCUCGCCCGAGACCGCAUUCGGGUGAAUAGCCGCGCGAUUCAGGGAGCGACAUCAGGGGACACGAAAUAUUCAAAGGGAUUUUUCGCUUGCCUUUGAGCGCGAGUAUCUGGUGGUACACAAGGAGGACGUCGGCCUUCAGCGUGGGCGUGACAGCUGCAGGGUCCACAGCGCCUCCGUGUUUCCAUACAACAUUAGCUCCGACAGGAAACUCAAAGGACCCGAUAAAAGGUUGCGCGGCCAUCGUGUUUUGGCUUCAAGUCAAGUGGGAGUCAAACUAGCCAGCUUUGUGUUGGCCUGCCUAACCUAUUUUAACACAGCGGAAUAUUAUAUAAUCCUAAUUUGACAAAACCAGGCAAUUGUGACUCAAGGAGUCCAGGCUGUGGAUUGCAAUGCUAAGGCGUCCCGAGAGGCGGGGCAGGUCGACAGGAGCAAGGCAGGCACGGCGCACACCAUAUGCAAACGAUUGUCCAUGUGGGCGGAACACGCUGAGGUCCCAUUUCACCUUGCGCACACCUCGACUUCCACACAUGGUGUAGGCCGCCCAUUCUACACCAGGUGUAGAAAUUGCUCAAAUUGCUCGACAUAACAGCUGUAGUGCUGAGGGCGAAGCCGAACGCAUCGACAUGCUUGGCGAAGCUGCGAAGUGCAGCUGAAGGCCACUUGGCAAGCAUGUCUGCUGCGAAGCCCCCACGUAAUCGCUAGUGCUGGACGCUGCACUGAUGGAGCUGCCGGCGGAACUUGACACGCUGCUCGGUGCAGGCAGCGUGUCCUUAGCCCCGGCCACCCUCUAGGCGCCGCAAGCGCGCCCCGCUGGCGCGCGGAGGCUGUUGUCGUGUUGAGGGUCAAGCUGUUGAGGGUCACCUGAGCCCCGACGCCUAUCGCGCGCUGCGCAAUUCGAUAAAAGCAUCCUGAUGCAUCUCGUUUUUUGAAUCUCAUAAAAUAUAUCAAAGUCUGUAGUUGUUUUACGCUGUCGCAGCCUGCGAUUCCUGAGCCCGUCCUUUGCCGGAAUUUUGCCCGAGUUUCGGUUGAGUUUCUCGUGAGUUUCCGCCGAGUUUCCGCCGAGUUUCCCUGCGCUCCGCCCGCGCGUGCACACCAGCGACUCUCAUGCACUCCAGCGAGUCCCUUCUCUUCAGCCCCCUGCCGCCGCCCCCAGCGAUCCCUCCCUUUGACAGCCGUGUGAAACCUGUGUGCGCUCUGAUGCAAUCGCCACCAGCCUGGGGAGGCAAACGCUCCGCCACGGCACGCAAAGCGCGCCGCGCAACCGGACAUGUUUCCCCCGCAUCUAGGUCGCACUCAUCCGCAUCGUCACACAGGUACCCGUGUCAACCGUGUGAAACCGUGUGCGUUUAGAGGCAGCCUAUGGACAGGGGUCAGCCCCAUGCUUGCUCACUGGCCUCGGCUCUACAACGUCAUGUUCGCUUGUGCGUGUUGCGUUCUUUCAAGCAUAUCAAUAAUGCUUCUCUCUGAGUUUACACGCAGCUCACACGCAGCUUCCCAAACGGCACGCCCGCGACUAUGCACUCCCACUCCCGUGCCGCGCCAACCACCAGCCUCUGCCGUGCUCCGCCGUACUCUCUUGCAGCUUCCCACACGCGUGUGCGCUCAACUGCCCGCUCCCACUCGCACGCCUGCCGACAACCGCCAACGACCCGUGUGUGUCACUACAGUCAGGUAGCUUCCGAGCCGGGCCGCCGUACAACUACCUGCUCACACUCGCGCAGCUGCCGACUGCCACGCUACCUCCUGUACGGCUGAGGGCGGUUGGGGUGCCGUACACGAGUUAGUUGGGGGUUAGUCGGAGCUGUCCCAGGAUGAAGGUUUAUCUAUUUUUUAUGGUCCCUUGCUUGGCAAGUCUUUCCCGUACCGUUACCACGUGUCCAUCUUGUCUUUCCGGCGGCGGCAGGUGUACGACGACGGCGGCAGCAUGACGACGGCACGUGUGUGGUGGAGCCUGCUGCUGUACGGACACCCGCGGCCGUAAAUUCUGGCGGGCGGUUGGGACGCGUGGCGGGCGGGCGGCGGCGGGUCGGAGCUGUACGAGCCGUGCCCUCUAAAGGUGAGGUGCGGGGCAGCAUGGGUGCGGGCAGAAAUUGUUCGGGGUGAGAGGGCAGGCAUCCUGCGCCAGCCGUGCUGUCGCUGCCACACUGUCCUCAUGCCUGUCGUUUGGCCUCAGCGUAGAGCCCCUCUCUUCCCUUCAUGGAUGCGGUGUGCGACGGACAGUCCGAUUCGGGGCGGCCAGCGUCGUCGAGCAGGGAAAGUCCCUCCCCGCUUCCUAGUUAUGCUUUCCUUGGGUGCAAAUAAACCUGAACCUCUCGCGCCCUCCCCUCCCCUGCAAUGGACGUUGCAGCUCUCCACCACAUUUGAGGCGGAGCCGCAGCCCCAGUACCGGGCGAGUGUGGAAGAAUUCGUGGCGGCAGCGGAGCGGGGAAUAGCAGCAGCAGUAGCCGCAGGCCCCGGGACCGUUGCUAUCCUGCUACUGCCAGAGGGCGCGCGUCAAGCGGACGCUGGGCCGCUGCCAGCGGGGCUCCGGACCGUGGCCCUGUCAGAGCUCCUGCCGUCGGCGGGCUCUACUGUGGCGGGAGGGUUAGGAGAUGCGGGUGCCCGGCUGCUGGAGGAGGCGGCAGCAGUGGCGACGGCAACGGAGGGACAAAGGCGCGAGCGGCAGCGCGUGCUCAGGGCGAGGUUGGGCAGCGUGUUGGGGGUGACGGGGCUAGGCGAAGACAGCGGAGUGCGGCUGCUUCUGGCGUCGCCCCACGACGCAUCUUUGAGCGCGUGCGUUGUGGCAGCGGUGCUGCGGGCAGCAGGCCACAGCGAAUGGGCAGUGUGCGAUUCUUUGUAGCACCUCUUUCAGGUCGCCUUGGGUGGAUGGAAAGAACCUUAAGGCCAUCGAAGGGUCGCCAUCCGUGCUGUAAUGGGCCGCAUGCCUAGGCUACCAAGGACGUUUGGGAAGUGUUGUGGAAGGGGGCUUGACUUCGGGCGGCCUAGAACGCGCCCGCUUCCAAAUCGUGUACGGCAACUGUCCUAGUUGGCGCCCAAUCUGCUCUUUCCCGACGCAAUAUUCGCAACCUGGGGCCGCCAGCGCUCCCGCCCGCAUUCAAGGCUUCUCAGCGCCAACCUCCAGCGAGUCAAAGGCGGCGAGCGCGCGACAGGCGGUUCGGUCGGCCUUUUGAGCGACGGUGCCAGCAGUGAAAGUCGUUGAACGGAAUGGGCGCCAGUCAAGCUUCGAGCAGCUUCGUCCCGCUUCAUUGAGUCGAGGUGGUUUGAAAACAAACCUACGCUACUGCAAUAGAGGGCGGGGUGUCCUUUUGUGCUUGCGCGUGACGGAAUCCGCCGAGUUCGGCCGGAACGCACGCAUGUUGGCAUGUCCAAUCAUCGACGCCCCGAAAUUGACUUUUUGCAGCGUUGCGUCAAAACGCCACACACAUUGCAAGACCAAAUGGAUAUGCGGGGAAAGACGCUUGUGUGUAAGACAGUGGGGCUCUCCCAGGCUAGCGCGAGUUGCCCUCCUGGCACCCAAACAUGCCAUUGGAUGUCUCGUCAAAAGAUGGGCUUCACCGGGGGAGUCCCGUGCAUGUCACUAACGCAAUACCUGCUGCCUUUGACCUCGUGUAGAAGUAGAAGACCCGCUCGGCUUAGCACAACAGCACAGCACUACUCCAGGCUACUACUCCUGCACGGCUGUUCACCGACGGUAACGCCUUGCCAGCAGCACCGCCGCAAUGCGCAGCACCAACGCGCCCAGACCCACGCCCGCUGCCACCUCCACCCCACGCUGCACCACCUUGAUGCUCCGCACCAGCCGCCGCACCACCUCCAUGCGUUCGCAAAACUCCGCUGUAUCGUUCACGUGCGGGAAGGGCAGCGGCGCCACGGCCGCAUCCGCCGCCGCCACUGCCGCCGCCGCCGCCUCACCGGCGCUCAUACCCGCACCCGCGUCGGUAGCACUGCCACUAGAGGAGGCAGGCGACGAGUCUGGCAGCAUCUGAUCGCGCUCCGCUUUCUCCGCCGUGCCCUUGACCUGAUGCCCCCUCCACCCGGGCAUCUUGACGGUCGGUGGCUUAACGGCAGCCCCGGCCUUGCCGGCGGCGCCGCCGCCAUUAUUGCCCGCCGCCGCCAUCGGCACGGGGCGGCCCAUGAAGUCGCAAAGCGGGCCCCAGCCCUGCCGUACGUCGUACUCCAGCAGCUGCUGACGUGGCACCAGGCGCCGCACCUCGGCAUAGUGCUCGGCGAACACCUGCCGGUGGGGGGUGGGGUGGGACAGUGUCAAGGGGGUGGGGUGGAGGGGUGGGCACAGUGACACACAGCCGCACGACACCGUGCUGAUACGCAUGCUCCGCCGACACGUGCAAGACGGGAACACGCUCUCGCGCCCUCCCUGCCUGGCGCUAUCCAGGGUGGGUAAAACCCUCCCCCCCCCCUUCCCCUACGCCCAUGCACCACCACCACUCGCCUGCCGCACAAAGUCCUUAUCGGUGAAGCGGCCGCGGAAGGUGCCGCGCGGCCCCCACACCAGCUCCUCUACCAUGAGCAUCAUCUUACGCAGCUGUGCCAGUGGCGGCGCGAUCACGGCCAGCAGCAGUCGCAUGUGCAGCGGCAGCUCCAGCAGCGGCCUGCCCACCUACGUCCCAAAAAUCAGAAGGGCGGCGGAUGUUACGUACGUGCAAGAGAGCUGACAAAGCGUGUGCGUGUGCGGUUCGGGAUAGAUGAGCUGCUGCUGUCCGGAGUGAGCAAACAUGCAGGUAUGUACUUGCAUGCUGCGGUUCGCUGCAAUCGCCCCGCCGCACGCACGCACGCACACACGCCCACUCCCCUGCACACGCCCACUCCCGCGCCCACCGCCUGCUUGCCUGCGACAUCUCAAAGAUGGUGCGGCGGGCGCUGUCGUACCAGGAGUCGAAGUCACGUGACGUCAGCACCACCUGCACGCACGCAUACGCACACACACGCGGCGGGGAGGCGGUGAGCGGGUGGCGGCGCACAACAACAGGCAGCCGCCGCACCGCGAAGGUCUCAACGUCACGUCGCCCCCUCCGGGCUUCAGAGGGCGUCCCAAUGACCUCAAGAGUCAUGCUAUACGUGUGUGUGUGUGUGUGUGUGUGUGUGUGUGUGUGUGUGUGUGUGUGUGUGUGUGUGUGUGUGUGUGUGUGUGUGACAACGGUUUACAGUUGUUUAUCAGAUCACGUGAUCGUGUAUCCGGACAACCCGUAGUUGCUAGUGCCAGGGGCGCAUUAGCACCUUGUUUGUCGCGCAUUGGUCUGGCAGUACAUGUCUCCCAAGCCUACGCGUAGCGUUAGACGUCAGUUUGGCCACAGGAGCCGCACCUCCCAUCUAUUGUGCUUAGACACUGAUUUGGCCCUAAGAGCCGCACCUCUGUCUAUAUUGUGAGACGUCGCUUUGGCCCUAGAAGCCGCACCUCCGUCUAUAUCAACACUGCUGCGAGCCGGCAGCUGGCCACUAUGCAUUGUUUGUUCGCCUAGCAAAAAGUCAUGUACCGUCCAAGUCCGGCACGUGGCCGCAGCAACCGCAAAACAAGCACCCCGCCGGCACUAGCUACCUUCCCUUCCCCACAGGGCAGAAUAUGCCUUAGGGCAGCCACAAAGUGAGAGAGAGGAUCAAUAACCAAAACCGUCUGUGCCCUAGCCCUGCAUUCACAACAAGCCUAACUUCCGCUGGACUUAAAAACACACACAGUGCGCGCCCCUCUCAGUUAUCCGCCAUGUGCAUUACUGCACGGGGUGUACGCAGCGCCGGUCCCCCUCCUCAGUCACGAUGUCCGUGCCCCGCCAGUACGGCUGCAGACCCCGUUCCACCAGGCUGUCGAACUGGGCUUGCCGCGCGCGCCUAGCUGCCCGCCCCUCCGGCGUCAGGAAGGGGGCCACCGUCACGCCUGCGGUGUGUUUAAUCUGCGCCGCAGCCCUGAUGAAGGCCGCCCGCUGAUCCCUGGUCACCACUACCUCCACAUUCCAAACGCGACCCGCGUUGCUAGCCCGCCACCGACGUUCAUACAUGCCCAUCGAGCCCUCUCCCAGGCCCAGAGCAGAGAAGUCACCGCGCGCCAUCGCCUCCGCCUGCUCGCUGCUUGCGCCACGAAGCAGUAUUUUGUUGGCCGCCAUCGCCCGUGGCGGCGGCGGCAGGUGUGUGCACGCUUGCGGCUGCGGCGGGUUCGGCCUCGCGGCCUCUCCUGCCGCAGGCGCAGCGUGUGGGGCAGCGGCGGCUUUGGGCCCGCCCGGCGGGGGCGCCGGGCGGCUUGCAGCCGCCGCUGCGGACGAUGCGGCACUGGGGGCCAGGCCCUUCCCUCCGCCAGUCUCCACCUCCAGCACGGCCGCUGUCGCGACCGCGAAUGCGUUCAGCUGCUGUGUCAGUUGCUGCACGGUGCCCGACAGCUGAUCCAGCAGCAAGCUGUGUUUGCGUGCCGCGCGGGCGCCGGGCCGUGUGCUCGGCUCGCAGGCCGCGCACCUGGCGCUGCACGAGGGCAAUCGCGUUGUCCAGCUUGGCCUCGUCCAAUCCGUGCUGGUUGAGUUCGACGUCGGCGCCGAUGAACAGGCUGUCCAGUAGCGCCUCCAUUCCCGACAUCCACAUAAGCAUGUGGCCCAGCCCUUCAGGCCCUCCAGACUUGAGGCGGAGCUCGCGGAGCUUUCUGAGGAAUGAAGAAAAUAGGUCAAAGCCCUCCUGGUUAAAGAGGGGGUUGCACUCUCUCCAUUCCGCCUCGUUGAUCACGCACUCAGGCGAGCUGGGCGAGAGAGACCAGGUUGCGAAGGAGUUAGGCACGGGAUAGCUAGGAGUCUCCGAGGCAGGAGAUGCGAAGCCUGGCUGUUCGCCGGGCCCGCGCGACGGCGAUGCCGACUCGCGAGCACUGUCCUGCUUCCCUGUAAUGCCACUACCUUCUGGCAUCCUCCUGAUCAGUAAAAACUAAUUCGGAAGAGCCGUGAGUCGCGCGGGCACCGUCAGCAUUCAGCGAGCUUGGCCUCUUAGCUCGCUGCGGCGCCGCGCCUUGCGUGUGUAUUGUGUAUUGUGUAUUGUGUGUGUGUGCGUGUGCGUGCGUGCGUGUGUGUGCGUGUGUGUGCGUGCGUGUGUGUGUGCGUGUGUGUGCGUGCGUGCGUGUGUGUGCGUGCGUGUGCGUGCGUGUGCGUGCGUGCGUGUGCGUGCGUGUGCGUGCGUGUGUGUGCGUGCGUGUUAAACAAAGAACAACCGGAACAAUUCCGCCAUACACGCGCAUGUGUGUGUAUGUGUGUAUGCGUGUAAAAGGCGUGUGGGGCCCGCCCCCACCUUGAUGUCGGGGUGUGCCGCCAGCAGCUCGGGCAGGAAGCCCGCCGCCAGCCAGUCCACCGCGGCCGUGUAGCCACCCAGCAGGCCCGGAGAAGACCAGUAGGCCGCCGAGGACUGGGGGCGAGCGAGGGAGCCAAAGGGGGGCGCGAGGGAUAUGGGGAGAACAAGGGGGGAGCGGCGUGUCCCCGUGAUGCAUGGGAGGGUGGCAGGCAGGGCGCGGUCAGGAGAUGGGCAACACGGGACCUAGCGAGCGGGUCAUUGACUCGCAGUUGCAGGAACAGGAACACGCAUGCGGGCAUUGUCAUACCGCAUCACGUGCACGGGUUUCGCGCUUUCCUUCCUUUAUGCAUGCGCUAUGCCACAUGCGCACCAACACAAUAGGCGCGAUGUGCUGCCUGCUAGCCAGAACACCCUGUUCCGACACCAUGCACAUUCAAAUACAGAAGCAUUUUUGGUACCGCGGGGUCAGGCGGGCGCACCUGCUGCUGUCGCUCGUCGGGGCGCCCGCCCUUGCUGCCCGCGCCGCCGCCCGCCGCGCCGUGCUCCCGCCCGGCCCGGUACCACGACGGCGCCUGGUCCGGGUUGUUGACCACCUGCGCAGCACGACCACCGCAGCUACAAAGUAGGAGGAUGGCAAUGCAUGCAAGUCCUGCGUCAGAAGGCCGGGACACCUACCGGCAAGGGCUGUCCUCCUUCCAUAAGUUGCAUCUCUUCCCAUGCCUGCGGGCUCCCCGCCCCCCUUUUGUGUCCCCCCCUCCCUGUGAUUUCCCUGCCGCCCCCCGCCCACACACCUACGGGCUUCCCGGCCCGACCUCGUCCCUCCCUUCUCCUCCCUCCUCCCUCCUGCUCCCUCGUAACCCUCCCCACCCCCUCACCCCCUCACCGCCUCACCCCCUCACCCCCUCACCUCCUCAACCUCUCACCCCCUCACCCCCUCAACCCCUCACCCCCUCACCCCCUCACCCCCUCACCCCCUCACCUCCACCAUGUGGUGUGUCUUGUACCCCAGGGCGUUCAGCGCCACGUACAGCGACAGGCUGCCGGUGCGCCCGAAGCCCGCCCCCAGCACCUGCAGCUUCUGCGCUGCCGUCUGCUGGUGCUGGUGGCCCUGCGGGUUUGGCGCCGGCUUUGUCGGCACGUGCGUUGGCUCCGCGGCGGGCUCGGCAGCAGUGCUCGCUGCUGCUGCAGCCAUAGGCGGCGCCGCGGCGUUUGCGGGAGCCGCUCCCGGCCCCGCCGGCUCAGACGUCACGGCGGCGGCGUAGCUCCGCCUCAUUGUUGUGGUAUGUUUGGAAUCAGCUCGUCAGCUCGUCAGCUCGUCAGCUCGUUAGCGCAGGUAGUGGACGCCCAGAGCGCUUCCUUAUCGAGUCGGUGCCUGUCGAGGUCCCAGUUUCGGUGACCCUUGGGCCUGUAGCUUGCGUAGCGCAGAUGGAAAUCAGGCCUGAAGCUUUACGACAAAAUUCAGUGGAAGGGCUUAACGGCAUGACAUUGCACUUGCUGAAUGCAGUGCUUCAGAGGGCUGUGGCGUUCGUUUGGUCGAGGGCGGAGGGGGUCUGGUGCCCACGCCUCCUGCCCGCGAUGUCGGCAUGCAAACGCUCUGCAGCGACACGGUGCACAACACUGGAGGGAUACCCUGGACUGGAAGCAUGAAGGGCGGAGUGAAGGCUCUUCGGACUGUGCGUCGACAUCUCCAGGAAAGCGGAUGUCUGCUGCGCUCAGCGUGGGGGCGGGCAGCGGGCACAUGUAGGAUAACCCGCCCUCUAUUCCAUAUCGUCGGUUCGACCGCCGAUAAUGUUAACGGACUUGCCCAGAAAGCGCGGGACAGAGCUGCUCUAAGGAGAAAGCCUGAACAGCGACCAAUCCGUUCAGCGACUUGCACCGUCGCUCUAACGGCUGACCGAACGGCCUGUCACGCGCUCGCCGCCUUUGACUCGCUGGAGGUUGGCGCUGAGAAGCCUUGAAUGCGGGCGGGAGCGCGGGCGGCCCCAGGUUGCGGAUAUUGCGUCGGGAAAGAGCAGGUUGGGCGACAACUAGGACAGUUGCCGUACACGAUUCGGAAGCGGGCGCGUUCUAGGCCGCCCGAAGUCAAGCCCCCUUCCACAACACAACAAAACACACCACUACUUUAAAGCAACUAGAACUCAUGAACACCCUUCAGCAGCAACGUCUCCUGAGCCCCGUCGGCUCGAUUCCUUGCAAACCAACGAACCCAGACACCGGGCCUUGCGCACCUGCAUCUCCCGACUGCUAUAGCCCUAGCAACCUGAACAUGCACCAGGCAGCAGGACCAGCAGAUGCUCGACGACGGAGCCCCGGCUCAGCAGAAUUCGGCGAGCAAUCGCUCUUACCCGGACAGCCGGAGGCCCGUUCCCAGCAACAAGUACAACGGCAGACACCUGGUGAGCUCUUGGGCGCUCCCAGGGCGGGUGCUUGAGCCGGGCCGAAGCAGAAUCAAUUGCCCGCCUGGCGAACCGGUGAACCCCUAUCUGUUCCGACCUCUAAAAUGCAUACAUUUUGAUUCCUGUAGAUGCUGCAGAUGUCAUACGGGCACUAGAGGACUGCCUGCAAGAACUCUGCGGCGCUUCUUGCGGGUCUGCGCCACUGGCCAUCGGGCAGCGCGGCGAGGGCUGCCUGCGCUCGGAGCUCAUUAACCGAUACGUCCUCUCCUCGUGAGUUAAGGGCAUUUGGGGAAAUGCAAGCAAUUUGUUGGCCGCCCGCGGUAGUUGGACAGCCUUCGUGUAGCGCCAACCCGGCGGCCUCGGCAGCGUUUCCCCGGGCUAGCCUACCGUAUUUCCUCCUGCUUGCUCGUGAUUAGGCCGUUUCAGCUCGCUGUACCAAACGAGGACCUAUGUGUUCUUGGACGCGCAGGUUGUACGCUUGCGAGCUGUCUGGAGCGCAGCUCGCCGCGGGGAGCGGGGGCUGCUGCCCCGGCACGCCCAGCGAGAGCGGAGUUGGCGGACUCGUCCCGGACACCAUGUCCAAGGCAAGCAGCAACGCGCAAAUAAGCAAUCUCAUCAAAGAAACGCCUAGGAGAACGGGCAUGAUGAUCUUAUAACCUGGCCCAUUAGCAAGCUCUUCCUCCCCAGUCCCCACCUGGUCCCCACCUCCGAACCCUCUCGCAUCACAUCCCCAAGUCCCGCCUACUCACAAGUCACAACCUCCCCUCCUCUCCCUUGCUCCUCCCUCCCGCCCUCCAGGCCAUGAACAACUGCGAGCGCGCCCUAGUCCUGGCCUCGCACCUGGGCGAGCCCCGCACGCUCGUGUACUUCGCGGUCGGGCUGGCGGAGCUGCACAUCGCGCGCCGCGACCUGGCCGCCGCCACCUCCACCUUCGACGCCUGCGCCGCCGCCUGCGCGGCGCUGGGCGACGGCGGGCUGCGCGGCGCGCUGCUGCAGCGGGUGCUGCCCAUGGCCAUGGAGGUGCUCAACAUGCAGGUGAGCCCGCGGCCUUGGUGCCGCGUGCCGUGUGCUGCAUACCGGUAGCAAUUUAACUAUUACUUGACAGGUCCUGUCACAUACAGUGUGCGUCACCAACGGCUUAGUCCCGUUGCUGGAUGUAUUUUGGGGGUAUUCAAUGAGAAAGGUGACGCACCCGUGUCCGUUCCUGCCGCUAACGCGAUGCCCUCGCUCCCACCCCCCUUGUGCGUCUCGCUCUGCUCAGGGCCGCACCGCUGAGAGCUUCCAGCGCUGGCGGCUGCUGAACGGCGUGCUGGCCGAGAGCGGCCGCGCCGUGCCCGAGGAGUGCCCCAUCUGCGCCGAGCCCUUCUCACCGGAGCGCGCCUGCGUGGCGUUGAGCUGCGGCCACUCGUUCCACAGGUGAGAGCUUGGAAUUAGAGUGAGGCUGCUACGCAGGGCGAGGCGCCAGAGAGGAAAGCGCGCGUUGGCAUGGCGCACAGCGUGCGAAUUUGCGCGCUUGAUUGCAUGCUGUAGGUAAAUGCGCUUUGCCGGGUGUUUGUUGUGCGCGCGUCUCACUGCCUGAAGAGUGGGCCUGCUGUCGCCGCCUAACGCCGCCUGCCCCGCUGCGCCCACGCCUGCACACACAGGGACUGCUGUGACCUGUGGCUAGGCCAUCGGAUGUUCACCACCGGCGUCUUCUGCGCCGAGUGCCCCGUCUGCAAGCAGGUGCGCGCGGUUGAACGCCUCGUAUGUGUUUGUCCUUCCCGCUACUGCCUGCCGGUCUGCUUUGUUUAGUGCCUGGUCUGUGCGUUUGUUUCCAUGCAACCCGAAAAGCGCCGAGCCUUACUGACCAUGCCUCCUAUCGCAUUCUGGUGUGUGUCACAGGUUGACGUCUCGCUCAAGCCCACGCCCGCAGCCGCACACGCACUGGUCAUGCAGCGGCAAGCCAUGCUAGUGGCCGCUGCCGCCGCCGCCGUCGACCCCGGACUCAUGUCCUGCGGCGGCAGCGACGGCAUCACCCGCAGUGGCGGCAGCAACGGCAGUAGCAGCAGCAGCCAUGGCAGCACCUGCAGUGGCACCAGCCGCGGCAGCGGUGGCGGCAGCAGCGAUAGCGCGAGCAGCAGCAGCAGCGGCAGCAACUCGACAGGCUGCCGUGCUGUGGCAGCCGCCGGCCGCGCCGAGGGUGGGUCGUGUAGCUCCUUCCACAGGAGCUGUGCGCCAGCAGCCGCCGGCGCCGCGACUUGUGGCGCCGCCCCUGCUACUGCCUCUGGCGGCAGCGUAGCAGCUGCUACUGCAGAGGGCAACAGCGGCUACCUUCACCACAGCAGCAGCCGGCGUGUGGCCGCGGCCGCGGCUGCUGCUGCUGCGGCUGCGGCCCUGGUGGCGGCAGGCCGGGAUGUGGAGGAGAGCUGCGCAGACGGCGCUUGCUGCUAUGCCAUGGAGACGGACGACGACAGUGCUGAGAGCAUGGCGUGAUGAGCGGAUGCAGUCUUGUGCUAUGUAUGGCCUCGUCGAGUUGCGCGUUGUGGCUGCAGUCGGUCGCGUGGGCUGGACCGUCCACGACAUAACGCGCUCGCAUGCUGUCUGAAUGCUGUGCGAGUGAAAAAAGAGUGUUGACGUCGGUUCCACGUGCCUUGCGUCUUGUGUACAGAGCUUCGCAGGCAUUGCGUUGUAUGCAUUGUUCCGUUGAGGAACCUGCAAACAUGCAGGCGUGCCCAGUGAAUUGGUGCCCACAUUAGUACUGCGGAGUGAGGUUGACUGGGCGGGAAAGCGGCGAUAUGGUGUGCGUGCUGAGAUGCGAGGGAGUAUGUCUGAGCCACCUUUUUUGAGCGUCGGGUCAUGCCAGGCUUUGGCUGCAUGCAGGCCGCAAUUCGCGCGCCGUGCCCGAGUAUUACUGCAUUCAACUGAAUUGGAGUGCGCUUUCCCGCAACAAAAAAGCAAUCCAUGUGUCGAAGGGUGCGCGCAGAACACCACCUGGCGGUGUGGGUCGAGUUACCGUGCACGCGGCAAAGUGGAACGGUAUGUCAAGGUGCAUGCAAAGCGUUACUGACGUGUGUACUGGACAUUCAGGGGCAAGUAGCUAUGGAUGUUACGGAGGGCGUUUCGUGUGAGGGGGCACGGCAACAUGAGGCACCGGCCCAAGAGGUUCAGAUUCAACUGAAGGAUAGGGAGCGGCGAGGCGAGGAGGCGAGGGGAGGGGAGCGACGCAUAACCGAAUGCGAGGCAUGGUGGCGGCACGAUGCCAGUUUUGUUUUGCGCGUGCGUGCGUGCUCUCUGGCCGUCAAGGCCAGGGCCGCUCAGCACCCAAGCAAAGGGAACUUUUGACAACUGAGUGCGCAUGCAGUGAAUUUCAUAUUUGAGAGACAUUUUGAUCGGGCUGGGGCAACAGGGGCGUGGCUUGCUAGUACAUGCCCCCGUGGACAUUGAUCGCGGCGUCUGGAGUGGAGAGUUGGUGUUGCUGCAAGCAAGCAGUACAUGUAUCCAAAUAAGGCGCGGAGUGGUGGUGUGCAAGCCUUGGGAAAGGACGAGCGUUUUUUGCAGAUGAGAGGGGCCCGUGGCCUGUGGUGGCAGAGCCGGGUGUAUUGGCCUGGAGUGACAACACGGGGUUUGGAGGGGCUGUCAGGAGGAGGCUGCCAUUUAGAACACCGACGGUGGUGACCGACCAUUUACACCAAGAGCCGGAAGGCGCUUCUUCAGUUUAUCUUAAUCACUCUGGUGGUGCGUGUACGCGGGGCUAAAUAAAGUGCCUUGCCGCCUUCCUUGCGUGAAGGCGCGAUGACGGCGAAAGAGCGAGUGAGAGGGUAGAGCGAGUGAGGGGGUAGAGCGAGUGAGCCGCAGUGAGUGCGUGGCGUGCAUUUGGACCCCGCAAGAGGGGCCGUGUAGCGGAUACUGCCAAUGCGAAGAUAUUGAUAAAGAUUAAACGGCAUGCGCAUGCGAGAGGUGAGCUUCUCGACGCAUGAUGGCGUGUGAGGUCCCAGUCAUGUGCACACCUGCACGAAGAUUCGAGGCGGCGCCGGCGGCGUUGCGCCGGGCCCGCCACCCCACGUGUAACAACUAUCCAGCAAGCUGUCUCAACUCUGCCCCCCUGGAACCCUUGGACAUGGGCGGGCCGCGAGCGGGCGAGGGCGGGCGCUCCUUCUGCUUCGCUUUUACACAGACCCCGCACACAGAGCGCACACUGUCGGCCUCUCUCCGUGUCCACCACUUACGUCGUUCCAUCUAGACAUCUCUCCAUCCACCGCCAAGGCGCCAACAACAUUCACGUCUCGCUGCCCUCCCCCCACACCCAUGCUUCCCGACCAACGCGGCGAAAUGCCGCCCGCUCCCAGCCGCCCACCAAACCCACCCCGCCUCCCGCUCACGCCUGCUUCUUCACGCCACUACCCCCCGCCUCGCCCCGGCCCUGCAAGAAGCCUCCACGGACCAGCAGCCACAGCCCCAGCGCCAUCUCCCACAGCCCCCCGGGAAUCGCCAGCGGCACGCCCGUGCCCUCCACGCCGUACAACUCCGCCACACUCCCCGCCGCCAGCAGGCUGUAGCCGAGCAGCCCCCACGCCGCCAUCCAGGCCGGCAGUAGCUGCCGGCGCAGCAGCAGCAGGCAGGCCGGGAGGCUGCCCAGCCCCAGCACCAGCAUGGCGACUGCGGGCGCGUGUCAGGGUUAGUGCGUGUGGUAGGGUUGGUGCGUGUGUUAGGGAUAGCACAGGGGGAAAGUGUUGUGCGUGCGUGUGUGAUGUGUGAUGCCUGUGUGCACGUGUGUGUGCAUGUGUGUGUGCGCGUGCGUGUGUGUGUGUGUGUGUGUGUGUGUGUGUGUGUGUGUGCAUGCGCGUGUGUGUGUGUGUGUGUGUGUGUGUGUGCGCGUGUGUGCGCUUAUGGUCAAAGAAGUAAGGGAAUGUGGUUGCACGCACGCGCUUGGCACCGUAAUCGUGGAGGUCACAGGGCAGGCAGCUGACUGGUACCUGCAGAGCUGCGGGUGCCUUCUGGGGCUCACCUUGGAAGGCGUAGAAGUUGGCUUUGACGGCCAGCGCCGCCAGGUCUGAGUACGCCACGCCGCCACCUACCCCUGCUGCCGUGGCGCCGCCACUGGUGUCCCCGCUGUUGCCCGCCACGAGCGCUGACAGCGGAAUGAGCAGCAGCUGGGCAAUGACUCCUGCGGCCAGCAGCAACGCCUCGGCCGCCCGGGUCGCGAGGUAGCCCACCGCGGCGCCUGGGCUGCCGUGGUGCCACAGCAGCGGGAAGAGCAGCACGCCUAGCAGUACUACCCCCACCUGCUCGCCCCGGGGCCGGGAGAGGGUGAGAGAGGGGCGGAAGGGGCGAGGGAGGGCGGGCACGCGAGGCAGAAGCGGGCGUCAGGGGGCUGGCGUACGUGCCUAAGCCAGGCUAAGGCCUGUGAGUGUGAGGCUAGGCCCAGACCAGGACUCCACCGGGUGGGGGUGUCCAGGGUGGUCAGGCUACUGAACAGACUGGGGCUGACACGAUAAAGGCGGCACUAGAUGGGGACGCAAAGCCAGAGCUAUUCCUGGGCCCACCAGCUGCCGCUAGCUCCACGUCCCCCCCGCGCCACCCCCACCGUGCCAGGCCAGCACCGCUACGCACCGAGUUGCUGAGCAGCAACAGGCCCGCGCUGACGACCUCAUGCUCAUGCGGCCCGAACGAUAGCGUGGAUAGAUGCUUGGAGCGCAGAGCAACCAUCCAGGAGUCGCCACCGCCGUAGGCAACGAAAGCCCAGAGCAACAAUGCCCCGAAUGUCCGUGCAGCGAGCGGCGAGAGCACGUAGUCCGCCAUAGUAAUUCGAGUAUACUGAUAACCGCAAGACGUGUAGAUGUAUUUCAAUACUCAGAGUAGGAGCCUUCCAUCACAGAGUUGCUGCAGUUGGGUUUCGCGGGCUUUGCCUUUGUUUCUUUCCAACCUUCUGGUCUGGCUUGACAGGUUAAACAGUGACACACAAGCGAGUCGCUUAAUUGCUUACACGUGAUGGCGCCGCAAUAAUCACCGCGGGGCAAUUCCCUCGCGGGAACCUGCGAAGCUGCAUAAAGGGUCACCCCAGCCCAGGCCUCCGGUCCUUCACGCGGCAGGAAGCCACGCAGAAAAAACCGUGCGCACCACCUUACAACCGCAUACACGCAUACGGCGCCCAGCCCUGUACCCAGCUGGGGCCUGGGGGCAAGCUGCAACAACCUGCCCCCACGACCUGCCCCCGAAUCCCCAUACAGUAACCUGCAGCGGUUCCGCUUCAAAACGGUGCUGUCCCGACCACCACCGGUGGCGCCUGCCACGACAUUGCUGGCGGCCCCGCCGCCGUCGUCAUGUAGCCCCCCGCCUGCAGCACCGCCGGCGCCGUGCCCUGCCCCGCCAGCCCCUGCCCCGGCACCACAGCCGCCGCCGUCCCAUAGCCGUACGUCAGCGCGGGCCCCACACCGCCGUAUCCUCCUGCAACUCCCACUCCUCCUCCCCCGUACAUCGGCACGCCCUGCUGCUGCCAGCCGGCUGCCGCGGCCUGCUGCGGCGGCAGCUGCUGCGCAUACGCCGGUGUCGCGGCCGAGACGUACGCCUGCUGAGCGGGCUGCGGAGAGGCGCCACCGCAAGGGCAGGGGCAAUGCGUCCACGACAUCCCCGCCUGCUGCGGCGAGCCGGCACCAACCGACGCCAGGUAGUACGGCUGCGCACCCGACUGCGGCGCGGGCAUCGUGACCAGCCCGAGCCCGGCGCCGCCGUGCGUCGCCGCCAUCGACGGCUGCAGCCCGGAAUACAGCAGCGGCUGCGGCUGUAGCUGCUGUGGCUGUAGCAGCGCGGCCGAGGGCGGCAUGAGCGCCAGGCUGCCGGGCGCGGGCGGCGCCGGCGUGGCCGCCAGGGCGCCGGGGCUGCAGGUGCUGGUGGUGGGUUGCAGCGCGAACAGCUGGGGCUGCGGCGGCGGCACCGGGAAGGAGCUCCAGCCGGUCAGCAUCUUGACCGUGGCCCUGAAGCAUGGGCGGGGAGGGCGGGGUUGCGGGCGUCAUACACAGUACCGUGAGAGGGGGUGGGCGGAGGGCGGGCUGGGCCAGAGGGAGCUGGAUUGUGCCAGUUGUGUCCGGUACGCCUGCUGAUGCGUCAGUGCUCAUUCCAUACGCGCACACACAAUGCACAAAUGCACCCAUGCACACACCUGAUAGUGAGCGUGUCAUCAUGCAGGAAGCGGCGGCUGUUGCGGUACAGGAAGUUGGACUUGACGAAGCGCGGGAAGCCAGCAACCACGCCGGGCGCCGGCGCCUGCAGCGUGGCGGGCGCCGGCGGCGGCGGCGUGGCCGCGGUGCGCGACUCGGUGAUGUGCACCGGCUUGAGCGUGCUCUGUGUGGUGGGGUGGGAGAGAAGACGUACGUUUAAUGGGCGUGUGGGUAUGGUGGUGACAUGGGAGGGGCUCCGUCUGGUGAAAGCGGCCUGUGCUGAGCGUCUGAGGCGCCUGUGGGUCCAGAGCUCCUCAGCACGACACCGGCCCGGAAUGAGCGGCGGGGGUGUCUUGGGGCCGCAGCUCCUCAGUAGAGGGCUGGUGAACACAAAUCCCAGGCUCCUGAUGAGACUGCCACACAACUGACAUGAUAAUAAACCCAUGCUGUUGCCCACAGGAGCCCUGGCUGCCCACCCUCCUCCAGCCAAGGCACCUCCGCUCCCUUUACGCGAGAAAUUCUCUAAAAUUCUCUAAAACCCUACCUCCCCACCCAGCCGCACCUUGUCAAUGACGCUCAGCUCGUACAGCAGGUGUCCGGGCCGCGUGCUGCCGGGUGUGGUGAGGAACAGGCCCAGGUACUUGUGCCCCUGCGCGCUCAGGCCGGCCGGGUACACCUCCAGCCGGAACAGCUGGCCGCCCACCUGGUGGUGGUGGUGGGGGCGCGGGGAGAGGGGUGGCGGGGGAGGAGGGUUACCGUGCCGGAGCCCGAGGAAAAGCUCCAUCAUGAGCAUUAGAAGGGGUUAGAGGGGGAGAAGUCGAAGCCAUUCACAGACACACAAGGUAAACCGAGACCCCGAUGCAGCAACCACUGGAGUUUGUGAGCUGGGGAAUGCAAGCUCUCACCUCGAAGAGGUCCGAGCACAGGCGCGUGCCGGGGCCCAUGGCUCGCGCCAGCGUGUAGCCCACCAUGGUGUAUGUGUGCGUGCCGCACACCGUGUCCACUUGCCGAAGCGACUCGGUCGCCAGGCAGCCCGUGCCCCUGGCGUCCGGAGGAAACGGAGCAGGAGGAGCACGAGGGGGCAAAUCGGUGGAGCAAGAGAUGAUGUGGUGUGCGGGGUCUGGCGGCUCACGGGUUCGUCCAGGUGGUCCCCAUCCUCCCCAGUGUUGCCCCGGCUUGCGCAUAUGAGUCCCCCUGACUCCUUAUUCCUGCUCCCUCGCCUUGGCAUGCGAUGCACCAAAGGCCCGCUCACCCCGUGUACCGGCCCACCCAGGGGCUAGCCUCGACCUCGCUAUCUGAUGUCUCCGGCGAUGGCAGCUCCUCGGCUCGCCGCCCUGUCCUUCGGCUGCGGCUUUGACAGCGACUAUGUCUGCAGCUACGUUCAUCCGCCCUGUGGUCCCUGCUGGACCGGCGCCGGGAGCUCUCCUCGCGCCCUCCCAUGGUUCAGUACAGUCGCGAAGCGACCCACAAGACGAAUUCGCAAAGCAAUGUCGUCAGCAGCUACAUAAGACGUACAGUAAGCUCAUGAUGAAGCUCCAAAGAGAAAUCGGUGGUGUCUCGAGUGCGUCAGUUACUGUCGGUUCGCCGCUAAGGAACUUAUGCAGUGGUUUUGUUAUAAAGAUUUGUACGUAUAAUGUAUACCAUCAGCAUGAUAAGAGGCGACACAAAGAAGGCGAAGCGACGAAGUUCUGCAUGGGGAGAAAUGGAACGAGCCUUUCCCCCCCUGUCAAGCUGCUAUGCCAAGCCAUAUUUAUUGUAAAAGUAGCUCGUUACGCGAGACAACUGCAGGUAGAGCCCAGCCUGCAACAAUCCACGCUGCCAAAUUCAAGUAGGGCCCAGACAGCUCUUGUUUUCUAGCGCCCUAGGGCGCCCGAGCCCCAGCAGCCAUGGAGAUCGAUAUUAUGGAGGACGUGGAGAACAUAACGGCACCCAAGGCAAGGUCGCCCUUGCGUGCAUAAGUGCCGGCUUGCAGAAUGUGAGCCCCUUCGCGCGCUCGCAGGCCAAGGGCAAGGCGACAAAGGCGGCGAAGGAGCCGUUGGGGCCUAGCAAUGCAGCGGCGCCAGCAGCGGGCGGCAAGAGCAUUGAAGAAAUGUAUCAGAAGAAGACACAGCUCGAGCACAUUAUCCUGCGCCCCGAUACCUACAUCGGCAGCACCGAGCGCCAGCCGAACCAUGUUUGGGUGCACACGGGACAGAAGAUGGAGUACAAGCAGGUCAGCUAUCCGCCCGGCCUGUACAAAAUCUUCGAUGAGAUUCUCGUGAACGCCGCGGACAACAAGGUCCGCGACGCCACGAUGGACACCAUAAAGGUUGACAUCGACGCGGUAAGCGAGGGGAAUUAUUUGGGAGGGGAAGGGCUUCGGCGGGGGAGGACACAGCGACCGGGGGGUGGGGGCGUGAGCCCUUCGCAGGCCUGCCGUGGCGCGUUGGUCGGCAGAGCCGGCACGUUGGGUCGCUGACCGGCCCCAACCUCACGCACUUCCGCGUGCCACGUCAAGCUGAGCCUCCCGGACCCACAUGUGCAGGCCACCAACAGCAUCCGCGUGUGGAACAACGGCAAGGGCAUCCCGGUGGAUGUGCACAAGGAGGAGGGCGUGUACGUGCCGGAGCUCAUCUUCGGCCACCUGCUGACCAGCAGCAACUACAACGACAGCGAGAAGAAGGCACGUGAAAUGUCGGGCGGGGGCCGAGCAAAGCCACACUUCAUUAGCACCUGAGUUACUGUACAUACCAACAUUCCCUACGCGCCCCCCCCUCAGAUCACCGGCGGCCGCAACGGCUACGGCGCCAAGCUGGCCAACAUCUUCUCCACCGAGUUCAUCAUCGAGACGUGCGACGGCUCACGGCUGAAGCGCUACAAGCAGACGUUCACCAAGAACAUGCAGGUGCGGCGUACGGCACGGCGCGGCGCGUCACUGCAUACCGGGUACUAUUGACAUCGCCCGCCUCUCCUCCCCGCCCUGCGCUCCUCGCCACCGCUCUGUGCGCCUCACAUAACAUGCCCGUGAGCCCCAACACCUGCACGGCGCGCCUGCUUGCGCUUGUGCUUUCCUGACACAGGUCAAGGGCACGCCCAAGAUCACGGACUGCAAGGCCAGCGACAACUGGACCAGCAUCACCUUCAAGCCCGACCUGGCGCGGUUCGGCAUGGAGGCGCUGGACGAGGACGUGGUGUCGCUGCUGCGCCGCCGCGUGUACGACAUGGCGGGCGUGCUGGGCAAGGGCGCCAAGGUGCGGGCGCGCUUGGGAAGUGGCGUGGGGUAGGGGAUGGGCUGGCUAGCAUGUGUGUGUGUGUGUAUGGUUUGGGGUGGGAAUGGCUGCAUGUCCAGCACGCGACAUGGCGGCACCGCCGUGCGUGUCUGCUUGGCAUCAGCCCGGGGGUGCCCCACUGGCCCGGGGGUGCCCCUGCAUCGUGAAUCGUGCACCGCAUACUGUUAGCUCGUGCUUACUGGUGGGCCGGCGCUGUGUGUUUGGCAACCGCCACCGCAGGUGUACUACAACGGCGAGCGGCUGAGCAUCAAGUCGUUCCAGGAGUACGUGGACAUGUACCUGGGGCCCAAGGUGCGGGAGGAGGGCGACAGGGAAGGGGAAGUGGGCGCAAGAUGCGGGAUGGCGCAGUGGGUAGGGCGGCGGGUGGGACUGGAGCGAAGGCACGGCCGGAAUGACGUGGAAAGGAGGCGGAGCUGGGACCUGGCGGGGGUCUGGCGAGGCGAGGUCAAAGCUAGGAAUCCGGGUGGCACGCAUGCCGCAGGGAGGAGGCAGCAAAAGGGAAAGGAACAGCGCGAUGAGAAUGUGCAGGGGUCAGGCUGGGCCAGGGUGCGUACGGGGACUGCGGGAAGGCCGGAGCCGGGGUAUGGGAUGCUGCCUCACCAGCGCGCCUGCGCCCGUGGCUCCCUGCGAACAGGAGAACGGCGUGCCGCGCUUCUGCGAGCGCAUCAACGACCGCUGGGAGGUGUGCAUCAGCAUCACGGACGGCUCCUUCCAGCAGGUGUGUGCACACACGGGGGCUUCAGCAGGCACGAGGGCGCGCGGUGCAGAUGUAACGGUGUUGUGUGGGCACCGCUGCUGUACCGCUGCUGUACCGCUGCAACCUGGCCCGACGCCGCGCUGAACCAUACCACGCGCAGGUGAGCUUCGUCAACUCCAUCUCCACCCAGAAGGGCGGCACGCACGUCGACUACAUCGUCAACCAGGUGGUCAAGUGAGUCCCGGCUUCUGAGUUACGUGCCGGACUGGCUGCAGCGAGCCACGUAUUGCAAGGGGCCUCCCGGACAAACAUCACGCGACACAGCACGACACACAGCGGGGGUGACCUGACAACACACGUUAGACGCUGGCGCCCCCUUUUGGAGUCGGAACUGCGAUGCACUAGCCUUUACCCCACGACGUCACAGGCACGCCACGGAGAAGCUGAGCAAGAAGACCACCAAGACGGCGGCCAUCAAGCCGGCCAUGGUGAAGAACCACCUGUGGGUCUUCCUCAACUGCUACGUGGAGAACCCCGCCUUCGACUCGCAGGUGCGCCCGGCUCCUCUCGGCGUGGAAGCAUCUGGCCACCUCGCGUUGCCGCCAUCACGCCUGCCCCUCUGGCCCCGUGUGUACAUUUCCAGCCUGCGCUCACCCCUAACCGACAUGUCCUUUAAGCCUUCUCGCAUCCUCUCCUUACACGCCCACAGACCAAGGAGACGCUGACGCUGCGCGCCACGGCCUUCGGCUCCAAAUGCGAGCUGCCGGUGCCGCUGCUGGACAAGGUGCUCAAGGCCGGCCUCAGCGACAGCAUCAUCCGCUUCGCCGAGUUCAAGAGCCAGAAGGAGCUCAAAAAGGGCGACGGCACCAAGCGCUCGCGCCUGCACGGUGCGUGCCAGCCGCCUCCCUGCCUGCCUCCUCAGUCCUGACUCUUGAGCCUGCCAGCCCAAGCUCCUUGCAUAGGCAUUGAAACCAUGCUCUUCACCCAGCACUCGCUACGAAGCCCUCACCCACAUACGCAUGAACACGCACACAUAUACUCACGCCAUUUCAACAACCACAGGCAUCACCAAGCUGGACGACGCCAACGACGCGGGCGGCCCGCGCAGCCGCGAGUGCACGCUCAUCUUGACGGAGGGCGAUAGCGCCAAGGCGCUGGCCAUCAGCGGGCUGGGAGUGGUGGGCCGCGACCACUACGGCGUGUUCCCGCUGCGCGGCAAGCUGCUCAACGUGCGCGAGGCCAGUGCGGCGCAGAUCGCGGCCAACGCCGAGAUCCAGAACAUCAAGCAGAUCAUGGGCCUGCAACACGGCAAGGUGCGUGUGUGCGUGUGCAUGUAUGCAUGUGUGUGCGUGGGUGUUGGCGGGGAGGUUUAGUCAUGUGUGGGUGCAUGCGGUGUGGCGAGUCAGCCGCAGUGGGUAGCCAGCAAGGCAGAAUGGAAGGCCUGCGUGGUGUUACCCAGCAAACUGACAAUCCUCUCCAACCGCCGCCGCUGUCGCCGCCGCCGCCUGCCGACACAGGUGUACGAGAACACGACGUCGCUGCGGUACGGCCACCUGAUGAUCAUGACGGACCAGGAUCACGACGGCUCGCACAUCAAGGGCCUCAUCAUGAACUUCCUGCACAGCUUCUUCCCCUCGCUGCUGCGCAUCCCCGGCUUCCUGCUGGAGUUCAUCACGCCCAUCGUCAAGGUGCGGCGCGGGCCGCGCUGGAGAGAGGCUGUCUGCUCCAUUCCCAUGGCAACUAGCAAACAAAAGCAAUUCGAAAGAUGACAGGACAUGAUUCCUAAGCUCAGCUUGGCACGCCGCUACCCAGCACCGCCCUCCCACAAACGCAUACACACGUCGCAUGCGUCUGGCCGCUGCCGCUGUAGGCUCGGCGCGGCCGCGACACCAAGGUGUUCUACACCAUGCCCGAGUACGAGGCGUGGAAGGAGAGCCUGGGCAACGCGACGACCGCCUGGGACAUCAAGUACUACAAGGGUCUGGGUACCUCCACCAAGGAGGAGGCGCAGGAGUACUUCUCGCGGCUGGACCUGCACCGCAAGGAGUUCGUGUGGGAGGGUGAGUGGGUGGGCGGGCGGGCGAACGAGUUGUUUGCUUGGCGGUUCAGGUUAGCAGCGCCCCUCAACCGGGGUAUUGUCGACACACCACGCCACGUUUGCCCAGCAAAGCUCCGUCCACGGGUGAAUUGCGCUAGGCAUGGAAAAGCAAGGCGGCAGCUGUGCGGCCUUGGUAACCAUGUCCUUGUUUGUGCCCUGUAGUUUCAAUGAUAGCUUGUAACCAAUGCAAUCUCUUCAAUACCGCGCAGGCGACGAGGACGGCGACUCCAUCGAGCUGGCGUUCAGCAAGAAGCGCGUGGACGACCGCAAGGAGUGGCUGAGCAACUUCGUGCCCGGCACCUUCCUGGACCAGAGCGCCGACCGCAUCAGCUACUCGGACUUCAUCAACCGGGUGAGGGCGGGCGGGACAGGCGGGUGCAGGAGGAGGGCGGGAGGUGGAGGGGACCGGGGGCGGCGGCAGGGCCUGGUAGUGUGCAGUCUUGGUAAACAGGCAGGUGGUGAUCGGCGCGCCUGGUGCUGCGCGUCAAGCUGCUGCGUGUCACCGACCUGCCAUGUGCGUGUGCCUGCGCCCCACCCCUGCCGCCCACCGUGCACCUGUCCCAACGCCCCUCCCUCCCGCCCUCCCGCCCUCCCUGCCGCAGGAGCUGAUCCUGUUCUCACGUGCCGACCUGGACCGCUCCAUCCCGUCCAUGCUGGACGGCCUCAAGCCUGGGCAGCGCAAGAUCCUGUACGCCUGCUUCAAGCGCAACCUCAAGAAGGACAUCAAGGUGCGCCCGCCCCCCGGGUCCUGCCCUCCACGCGAAUCCUGCUUACCCUCCUCGCCUCUAUCCACACACACUCACUUGCGCUGCCGGAAACGGUCGAGUUGCCUCUCCCGUCGCCGCCACUGCCAUCUAACCCUGCGCUGAUCUGGCUCUCCGCCUCUUUCACUUGUGUUCCCCCCCGCUUUUCCCCUCUUUUCUCCAUGUCGUGCCCUGCCCCCGUGUUCCCAUCCCGCUCCUGAGCGCGCCGCCAGGUGGCCCAGCUGUCCGCCUACGUGGCCGAGCACAGCGCCUACCACCACGGCGAGGGCAGCCUGGCCAGCACCAUCGUCAACCUGGCGCAGGACUUCGUGGGCAGCAACAACGUCAACCUGCUGCACCCCAGCGGUCAGUUCGGCACGCGGCUGCAGGGCGGCAAGGACGCCGCCAGCGCGCGCUACAUCUACACGCGGCUGGCGGCGCUGACGCGCCACCUGUUCAACGAGAACGACGAUCAGCUGCUCACCUACCUGAACGAGGAGGGGCAGAGCAUCGAGCCCGAGUGGUGCGUGCUGGGGAAGGAAGGGGCACGGGAAGGGGGGUGUAUGUGGGGUUAUCUGCCCAAGUCUACAAAGCGGUCUCAAAAUGGGGGCACAUGCGCUUGUGCCGGCGGCUGCCGGUGUAAACUAUGGGAGCAUUUGACUCCGCAACGAGUUGUUCCCUUGCUGGGGCGCGUGCGGGGUGUGCGGGCGCCGUGCCCCGAGAGAGACAAUGUGGGCUACCAGAUGUCAUGUGCACUCGGGUUUAUGUCGUGGCGAAGGACUGCGGCAAGUGGUUUCUGGUAGCUCACGGGUGCCGCUGCUGCCCCCGCUGGGCCCAUGCGCAGGUACAUGCCCAUCCUGCCCACCGUGCUGAUCAACGGCGCGGACGGCAUCGGCACGGGCUGGAGCACCACCAUCCCCAACUACAACCCCCGCGACAUCAUGGCCAACCUGCGGUGCGUACGUGCGUAUGCGGUUGUGUGUGUAUGUGUGUGGGCGCGCGUGUGUGUCACCAUGCCUGCUUCAUGCGCAACCCACGCCCUCUGCCUGCCUGGCUACCCAUGACACGGACCCAUGGCAACAUACCACGCCGCGCCCGCCCCGUGCCCCCUGCCCCGACUCUCCCGCUCGCUGUUCGCUGCCGCAGGCGCCUGCUGGAGGGCGAGGCGCAGGAGGCCAUGCACCCCUGGUACCGCGGCUUCAACGGCAACAUCGCCGAGGCAGCCACCCACAAGUCGGGCUCGCGCUCGUACGUGGUCAGCGGCACGGUCACGCAGGUGCGCGCGGCGUGUAUGCCCGCGCGAGUCUGCUUCCCUUACGGUACCAGCAACCAAAACAACUCAGCAAAAGCAUUGGUAUGGGCAUGGGGUCCCGAAAUCUCGCAAGUCCGCAGAAACCCAGACCUCCACUCCACUGGGCGCGCCUCCUAGUCCGAUACCACCCGCUGACCAGGGAUGUGCCCAUGCCGGCCUGCGCCUGUGUGUGCCACAGACCGGCCCCAACACCAUCGAGAUCACGGAGCUGCCCAUCCGCAAGUGGACCCAGGACUACAAGGAGUUCCUGGAGACGCUGCUGCGCCCCACCGAGAAGGUGAGGCGUGUGGGCUGUGUGGUGGACCGCAUGUCGCAGCCGCGAUCCCUGCCCUUCCCCUCCAGCACUCCUGCAAGCUUGGGCUCCUGUCCCACGGCCUCCCUUCCCGUCCCUGCCAUCCCAGCCCACCCUUACAUUGUGCCGGCUGGAGUGCAACCAUUUACCUCAACCUCCCGAUGUGCCUCCCGCCACCCCAUCCCCCGCUCUCCUCCACGCUCUUUUGCAUUGGUUUGGGUUUAGCUUGGGCUGGUAUUUACGAUCCUCCCCCCGCCCUCCCCCCACACAGGACGAGGCGCCCAUCAUCGCCGACUACAGCGAGCACCACUCCGACUCCAACGUGCACUUCGUGGUGGAGCUGCUGCCCGGCAAGAUGGAGGAGCUGCUGGCCUCGCCGGGCGGCCUGGACGGCAAGUUCAAGCUGACCACCAAGAUCGCGACCAGUGAGUGCCGCUUCUUGCCCGGAGUGCUUGGUGGGCUCGCCAGCAGGCCGCAUCCACGUAUCCGCUGUGGGUUGCAGCCUCGACCCACAUGCCCGUACACGGCACACAGGUCAUGGGCGCUGACCAUAUCCUGGCCCCCAAGGACAGCGCUAUCCCUUUCAGUUGCGGUAUUGUCAGCUUGAAUCGACUACUCCCACCGUAACCACAACCAUCAUCCUGGCAGGCAACAUGAUGCUGUUCGACCACAGCGGCAUGAUCAAGCACUACAGCAGCCCCGAGAUGAUCGUGGCCGAGUUCUACGAGCUGCGCCUGGACUACUACGAGAAGCGCCGUAUCGCCAUGCUCAAGGUCAGUUGGGCCUUGGAAAAUGCUGGCACGGAGCCCGCCCUUGGCUCUUGUCGCUGUGCACGGUGCUGUCCUGCAGUUUCAGGCUGCCAGCUGCACGCCGCCAGCUACUUGUGUGAAGCAGCGUCUAUCAGUCUGCCGUAUGCACACCUUACUUUGCAGCGGUGUCUGCGGCGUGACCGUCUCCCAAAAUCCACGCAGGUGGCGUCGCUGGACCAGAAGCGCGCGGACAACCGGAUCAGGUUCAUCCUGGCGGUGGUGGAGGGGCGGCUGGAGGUGCGCGGCCGCAAGCGCGCCGACCUCGAGCGCGACCUGGAGGCGCAGGGCUUUGACCGCCUGGGCAAGGCCGGCGCGAAGGUCAAGGUGCGUGUGCGUGCGUCAGGCAUGGCCGUGGCCGUGGCCUACGGUUUGGCAGCUCGCUCUGUGUUGCAGCCCGUCAUGCGUAUGACAGCAGGUGUACCGUAGUGGUUCCCCUGCGCGCCUUUCCAGGUCCUCGCUGCGUCGCUGCGUGGCGCUGCUGUUUGGUGACUUGGCUGUGCGCCGAGCUCCGCACACCACUGUCCUGUCACUGUUGCCCACACAGAUCACGGAGGUGGCCGAGGACGGCGAGGAAGGCGAGGGGGGCGAGGCCGCCGUCACCGCCUCCAACGGAGCCAGCUACGACUACCUGCUGUCCAUGUCCAUCUACAACCUGACGCGCGAGAAGAUCGCCAAGCUGCAGGAGGAGGCCGCGAAGGCCAAGGAGCGGGUGGAGUACCUGUGCAGCAUCACCGGCCGCGACAUGUGGGCGCAGGACCUGGACGCGUUCGAGGCGGUGGGUGGCGGGCAGUGCGUAGGGUUCCCAGGCUGCCAGCCUUGCAAGGGUGCUGCAAUUGAAGGGAGCUGUGUCGUCAGAACACUUAAUUGCUGGUUGCGAUAUGGUUCCGGACCUCGGCGCUUCGGUAGGUGACCACACGUGUGUUGCCUUGCUCCCGCUGCUGCAGGCCUACGAUACCUGGGAGGUGCAGGAGAACGCGCGCCUGGAGGAGGCCACGCGCAAGCAGCUGGCGGCCAAGCGCGGCAAGGGCGCGGUGAGCAAGCCAUGUUUUGAAGCAUCCUUAUCAGCGCGCACAGGGGCUGGCUUCAUGCGUUUUGUGUACGUGUCCGUGUGCUGUGGCAAACGCAUCAAGGUUGUGAGUGUGAGUACCUAUGAUGAUGCUCUGUUCCAGCAGGGCAAGGCUAAAGGCGCCGCCGGCGGCCGCAAGAAGGCGGCCAAGAAGGCGGCGGGCUCGGACGAGGAGGACUCGGCGGAGGACACGGCGGACUCGGACUUCGAGAUGGCCGCCAAGAAGAAGCCGGCGGCCCGCGCGCCGCCCAAGCCCAAGCCCGCAGCGCCCCCCGCACCGGCGGUUGCCGCGCCGGCACCAGCGCCAACGGCGCCCAAGCCCGCGGCAGCUGCGAAGGCACCGGCGGCGCCGAAGGCCGCCGCAAAGGCAGCGGCAGCGGCCGCCGCGAAGGCGCCGGCGGCGCCGGCGUUGGAGGUGGAGCCGGCUGCGGCGCCGGUGGCACGGCCGCCGGCCCGCAAGGCCGCGGCUGCGGGCGCGGCGGCGCGGAAGCGGAACGUGGUGGUGGACACCGAGGAUGAGGACGUGGACAUGUCGGACGGCUCGGAGGAGGAUUUCGCCAGCGCCACGGAGGACGACGAUGACGACUUCGAGGCGGACGAGGAGGAGAAGAAGCCCAAGAAGGCGCCCGCAGCCGCGAAGAAGGCCGCCGCGGCGCCGGUGCCCGCGGCCGCGCCCAAGCCCGCGGCGGCGCCCAAACCCGCGGCCGCACCGCGCGCCAAGAAGGCGGCGGCGGCAGCGGCUCCGCCGCCCCAACCGCUGCGCGCUGAUUCGCAGGGCAGCGAGCAGCCGAGCCAGGACGACAGCCGCAUGAAGCCGGACGCUGAAACGGCGGGACUGGCGGCGCGCCUAGCCGGUGCGUAAUGUGAUGUUCGUGUCGUGCGUCUGGCUGAACAAUUUCUUCUUCCUGUCAGGCAGCACAGUUAGGCAGGGUGCUGUCACCUGUGACGCAAGCGGCCUGCUCUUGCGCCUGCACUCACAGGGCGCAUGCAGGCGCAGCUGAACAUCGGCAAGGCGGGCGCGCCUGUGGUGAACCUGGAGGAAGACUACGACGUGAGCUCGCCCGCGCCCGGGCCCAAGACCGCCGUCGGUGCCAAGGUACGCGGCUGCCUCUGCUGCUGGCCUCUUGCUGUAUGCUGACCAUAGGAAGCAGGAACUCCUGGCGAGAGCGGCCUAUACGAGGCCUAAGCUGCGCGUCCUAUCACUGAUCUCCUUUGAUUGCGCCAUUGCAGAAACCGGCCGCGGGCAGGGCGCCGGCCGCUGGCGGGCGCGGCAAGGGCAAGGCUGCCGGCGGCGCUGCAGCGCCGAAGCAGCCAGGUGCGUGAUCGUGCUUUGCCAUUCCUAAAGGCGCCUCGUUCGGCGUUGCAGCGGCCGAACUGUACACACGCACGCCAUUCAUGCCCACACCUGCUCCACAUGCUCGGCUCCAUACACCCGCUUGCAUGCCGCUUGGCCCUGCCCAUGUCAACCUGCUGUGGUUCUUGCUGCUGUGCCCGCAGCCAAGCGCAAGGGCGCGGCCAAGAAGGGCUCAGACUCGGAGUCAGACGACGUCAUUGAGCCCAGCAGCGACGACGAGGAGACCUUCGAGCUGUCUGCGCCGUCGCCCGCGGUUGCGCCCAAGGCAAGUACGGUACCGCGCGGCUGUUUCCGCCCGCCGCGCAUUGACGCGUGGCGCCUGGCGCGUACUAGCCUUACAAAACUUACCCCUUCUGCCAUCAACACAAGGAUGUGCAACGCUCAUUGUUUGUGCUUUCACACGGCGCAGGGCAAGAAGAACCGCUCGGGCCCCACGCCGCUGGCGAUCAAGAGCCUGGCGCGCAUGGCGCCCGUGCCCGAGGAGAAGGCGCCUCUGCGCGCCCGCCGCGCCGCCGCCGCCAAGCCCGUCAACUACAAGAACGGCGGCAGCGACGACGACAGCGGGUCCGGCAGCGACAAGGACAGCGACUUCGAGGUGCUGUCGGACUGAGCAGCAGGCGGUAGCAGGCACCGGCCGUUGCGUUACCGGGCGUUUCCGGGCAGCGGCGACUGGGCCGCAACGGCGCUGGGACGGCGAGCGGCUAUGGGAAGAGAGGAGGGGCCGCAAGGGCGCAACCGAGGACGGAUGAGCGACGUGUGCGGCUGGGAGUGGGAGCGUAGGUAGGGUGCUGUAGGUGUACGGAAGGCGUGGAGCAUAAGGGGCUGGAGGACGGCAGGGAUGCCAGUGCAGGAAUGCGUGUGCGUGAUGCUGCCAACGCGGUAUGCAGGCUGGGCAAAAGGAUGCCAGGCAAUAUCGGUAUCACUCGAACACCAAAGUGUCAGUGUGCCUGGUAUGUUUGCGAACGUUACAAGAAAUGACGAUGGGAGUGCGCAAGCACACAGAGGCCAUGCACGGUCCAAACGAUCUGAAGAAGGUGAAAGGUGGCUGCCAACUGGCAGUGUGUGAGCGCGUCACCUGCCGCGUGGCCACUAUGUUAAGCCGCAUUGCACAAGCGGCUGACAUACAUGUAACGUGGCCUACUACACCGGCUUCCCAUGAGUCACACAUAUUGUUGGGGCUGGCGAGGACACGGGAAGGAGCCUUCGGAAGGACACACUCGGGGCAGGGCGGGCAUCAACGGCACGAUCGAGGCCACACCCAAGUGCUUCCAGCGCUACCCCCAACAUGUGCUACAACUUCAAAAUGGGAAACACGGCGGGCACCUACGCCUGCCGCAACGGCGCCCUGGAGCUGGUCGCCUAGUGUGGGCGGGCCCAUACUGGGCAUUCGUUGCCGUUAACUUGGUGAGGCAGUGGCGGGGGACGUGCACGUGCCCUCCGGGCUAGGGUGGGUGCGUGCCAGGCCGGCCUGGCCCGGUCGGCCUGGUGUGCGCUCAUUGUGCAUUGCCCACGGGCUUACUUCAUACAGGGAUAAUAUACAGCUCUGUCAAGUUUGCCCAGAACCGCGGUCGGCAAAGGGGCGGUGAGCUCGUCCUCCAUCGCGCACACUAGUCGGUGCAUGGUCCGUCAGCAGUCGUUGACUCGAAAUACUUCCCCGCUAUUCCCCGGCCCUUCUUGGGUGCGCGGUUCAGCGCUUGCUUUUUCUGCUUUCUUGUCAGCGGCGCACAACAUCACUCACCUGCUUUUAUCCGCACGAUGCUGGCCUAGGGCCAGCUCAUUACCUUGUUCAUAAUGUACAGAUAACAGACAUUAGAUAGGUGAAAGAAGUAGCGGUCGAAAUGGCGGUUCCAGGGAAGAUUUCUUUGGUGUUCAGCCCGGUAAAGCAGCGAUACUCCAUCGUUGCUCGGGGAAAUGGCAGGUAGGGUUUGCUGUAUGGAUAAACCCGCAGCUAAUGCUGCUUGUCCGCAGCGGUGCGGAGAACGCUGAACUCUGUGCCGUUCGCUCGCUAUUCAAGGGCUCUGGUGCAAGUCCUCCGUGUGGACAUCCACUCGGGCAAGCUUAUGUUCACGUGGACGAAAGGGCGGGACAUCUUUGAGAGCGAGGUAAGACAGGACACAGGAGCCUGCGCGAGCUGGCGCAUGCUGGUUCCCAGCUGACCAGCUUCUUCGCGCGCAGACCGCUGCUCUGGACUUCUUGAAGCAGGCAGAUGGCUCCAUCCAGGUGCGGACAGCUUGUUCAGUUCGGAGCGCGUUGGAAGUUGCGCGCUGCAGCCGGCCUGUCGCGCUGGACGGGACCAACGGGUGUAGCCAACGGGCAGAGCGUCCGAGCCCUGUCUUCCGCACGCACCCGCGCACGCGCUUGCACUGUCAAACCCACCCCAUUUAGAUGGGCAUGCCCGCGCCUCUGCUUCCCACUGGCGCACACGCUGCCGCUGCGGCUGCUGCUGCUGCGCGUGUCAACCGCCUGUGUGGCUCCAGGCUUCCAAGCCAUGCACGUAGGACUGACCUGGAGCAGCGCCUUCCCUGAGGUCUUAGGCAUGACCGCACGCCGCCACCCACCCCUCCCCUCCCCUCCUCCGGUCCUCCCACACAUCACCACCACCCCGCCACAGGUCUUGGCCACAGCGCCCUACAUCCUGGGCUACGUGGUAAUUGGGCCCUGGGGGCUGCUGCUUGUGGCGGAGAAGUUCCGCGUUUCCGCCUCGCUGCCCGGGAACCACGAAGUCAAGACGGUCACCAAGUCGCACUGGAUCAAGAUCCCGCUGCAGCUCAACCUGUCGCUGCAGUCCGUACAGGUGCGGGAAGCGGGGGAGCGGGAUGAGGGAACAGUUGGGGAUCCAAGCCCCGCAGCUGCUGCAGCCGCCGGUCAGACGGAUGCCGGCAGGCAGGCAGGCGGCGCCAGCUGGCAGCGGGGCGUGAGUGGCGACAGGGUGUGAGCGGCGACAGGGUGUGGACGGCGGCAGGGCGCCGCGGCGCGGCGCGGCAGGGGACAGGGGUGGUCAUUGGGGCAGGCAAGCGGGCAGGACGGGCACAGGAGGAGGCAGGAGGGCGGCGGCGACGCGGCGGCUGUCUGGGGGCUGGGGCAGGGUGCUGACGUGGCACCCGUGUGUCUUCCCCACACGCAUGGCGUCACAGGCGCCGGAGGCUGUCCUAAAGGACGAGAAGGCGAUGAAGGACGAGAUCGACAAGGGCAUUGAGCGCCUGCUGUCCUUCCCCAUCGACGGUAGGGCUGCUGCACACACGCGUGUGUGCGGUCUGGGGCAGGAAGGAGUGUCAGGCACGGGUAACACACGAAGACUUCUUGACCUGUGGGCGCUGCGGUCACGGUUGACGAGUGCACGUGUCUUCGCUCGAGCUUCCGCUCCGUACUCCCCCCUCCCCGGGCCUCUCCUGCAUUGAGUUCGGUUCAACUUGGGCCGGUAUUUACACCUUCCCUCUCGGCCUCAUCUGCGCACGUCGCGCAGGCGCGCACUUCCUGUGCGACACGCUGGACAUCACGCGGCCCUUCCCCUCCUACCGCGGCGUGAAGGACCCCAGCUGGGACCUGGUGUGGAACCGCUGGAUGAGCGCGCCCUUCCGCAACCUGGGCCUGGACCACCUGUGCCCGCCGCUGCUGCAGGUGCGGAGGCUGGUGCAGAGGAGGAGGGAGGGAGGGAGGGAGGGAGGGAGGGAGGGAGGGAGGGAGGGAGGGAGGGAAAGACAGGGAGGGGGAGGAAGGGAAGGAGGGAGGGAGGAGAAGGGAACGAAGGGAAAGGGGAAGGGGAGGGGAGCGGGGCGGUGGGAGGCAGAUGGCGGCGCGGGAGGCGGAGGAAGGGAGGAAGGGAGGGAAGGUUUGCGCAAGGGGAUGCCGCCAAGGGGAGGCUAUAUGUCGCCGCCGAGGACCCGAUGGGGGUCACAAAUGAAGGGAGGCGGCAGGUGGCCGCAAUGAAGCGCUGGCGAGCCGCAUGCACAGGCUUAGGUCUGGCACGGGCACGUCGGGGUCGGGCUGUGCCGACAGCCACCACGGGUGUGCGCGGUCUGCGCGGCCGCGGGGGGGGGGGGUUCAGCGGCGCUCGCACGGCGCUGGCGGUGGCGGCUGCUGCAGUCGGCUGGGUGUGCCUGGAAGCUGGAGCACGGGCGCGGGGUGGGCGUGGGGGGGGGGGGGGCGGGGCCGGGUAGAUGCGCUGUGGAUGCGCAGGGCCCCGCGCUGCCGCCACUGCUUCCGGUGCAGCGCCCCCGGUGGGGAGGGGAGGCCGCCGGUGGCAGGAGGCAGGAGGGGACGGCACAGUGCGGCAGUGGCGAAGCAGCGCUGGUGGCGCGGCCACACAGCGCCGCGCGCCUCGUGAACCCCGGGCCCGAGCCCCAACACGGCCUCUGCGCGCUGUGUGCGGCAUGCUACCCCGCAUGACCCCCCCUUUUUUCCAAACAUCCCUGCAACCCCCCCCCCCCACACACACACACACAAUGCACACGCACACACACAGGGCCUGUGUGAGUCGCGGCAGCUGGAGGACUUUGACGGCGCCAAGUACUGGGUGGCCAUGAUCAGCCGCCGCGGCUGCCUGCACCCAGGGCCCCGCUACAAGGCGCGCGGGCUGAAUGACUACGCGGAGCCGGGCAACGAGCUAGAGGUGGAGCAGGUGUGUGGGGGGGGGGAGGUGCUGGGGUGUGGGGGUUGGGUGGCGGAAGGGUUUGUUUGGGGGUUGUACAACCAGCCCAAACUAAACCAAACCAAGCCAAACUAGCGGAGCACAGGCAGAGGCGACAGGGGGUGCAGGAGGGAGGGAGGAGGAGAGGAAGGGGUGCGGGGGGAGGAGUAGGGGUGCGGGGGGAGGAGUAGGGGUGCGCGGGGGGGGGAGUAGGGGUGCGGGGGGGGGGGGAGUAGGGGUGCGGGGGGAGGAGUAGGGGUGCGGGGGGGAUCUGUGCUGUUGGAGGAUUGGGGCCACGGGAGGGAUGGAGGAUGGAGGGAGGGAGGGAGGGUGGGUGGGCGAGGCGCCAGGCUGCUUGUAACGUACGGCCGUAGGCGCUGGAGGUGGCUGCAGCAGCGAAGCGGUGGGCGGGCCCUAGGCGCGGAAGUUCGCGGUGUGCUGGAGCCGCGGUGGAGCACCCGGGCGGCACGGGGCCAGCCGAUGCCGGCCUCACCACACCGUACUCCGCUGAGCUCCCGUGACAGGAGCGCAUGUCCGCCCGCCCGCCCGCCCGCCACACACACACACACACACACACACACACACACACACACACACACACACACACACACACACACACACACACAUCGCCACCCCCACCGCCACCACCCACACGCACGCUAUCGCCACCCCCACCGCCACCACCACCGCGCAGGUGCUGUGGCGGCAGCAGCACCGCGACGGCAGCCUGCUGUGGAGCCGCUACACGUGGCGCCGCGGCAGCGCGCCGCUGUGGUGGGGCGUGUCCAUCAAGAACAACGGCAUCGGCGAGGCGGAGAUCAAGAUCCGCUCACACAACACCUUCAAGGGCUCCAAGAGGUGGGCGGGCGCAUUUUUGGGUGGGAGGGAGGGGGGUUAGCGGCGCGGUGCGGUAUAUUGCAGCAGUCAGUCCAUGGCCAGGCAGUCACCCUGCCCCGUGCGCCGACAAACACACACAUGCGCCCUUGGUUUCCAUUUCAACGCCUCCCCCCAACACAACGCCCACCCUGCCUACACCCGCCUCCACGCGUGCAGGUACGUGCGGCGGCUGCAGCGGCGCUACACGCCCACCGCGCAGCUGGACCCCGACCCGCCCGCCGCGGGCCCCGACGGCGACCCCACCCGCCUGGUUCCCAUCACCUUUGUGAGCCUGCUGCGCAAGGGCACGCCCGACCGCGACCGCAGCGAGGCCAAGCUGGCGUCCGCGUUUGACUUUGUGAGCGCCGGCAAGGGAGGCGAGGGAGGGAGGGAGGGAGGCUGGGUGGGAGGGAGGCUGGGGGGCCGGCUGGGGUGGGAAGGGGUUGUGAGGGAACAGGGGCUGAGGGAAAGAGGGCAUGGGCGCGAGGGCCGGAGGGCGCUAGGGGCUGUGGCGCUAGGGAGGGGAGGGGGCUGUUGUGACUGCAGGAGAAGGGUCACGGUACGGUUACGGUACGCAGGGACUGCAUGGGGGCCGGGCCGAUGUGGAAUGGUGCAAAACACCCCUUCCCCCUCCCCUGACUGGUCUGCUGCAACGACGUGUCAAUACGUUCCCGUCAUCAAGCAUGCAUGGAUUCCCCCGCCCCCCUGCGAACUAAUCAUGCAUGUAACCCCCUGCGCCCAGGUGGUUGCGGCGCUGCGCAAGGAGCACGGGCUGCCGCUGACCUACAUCGCGCUGGACUGGCACGAGAUGGACAAGCAACUGGGGCAUGUGGGCAUCGUGGAGGCCUUCUGGAACACGGUGCGUGUGUCAGAGCGUGUGUUUCAAAAAGGACACGCAGCGCACCCAUCCUUGCGACGUGUCCCUCCCUUGAUUAAUCAUGAUUGUAACCCCCUCCCACACACAUACACCUCGCCCGCUCAGGUGAAGGACCUGCUGCCGGCUCAGGGCUUUGCGCUGGGGACGCUGGAGAAGGUAGGGCCGGACCACACAGAGGUCUGCGCCGACGCGGGUGAGUGCGGGGGACGCAGGGGCCGACAGGGGCUGCGUUGCUCAGGGAUGAGGGGCGGGGAUGGGGGGCCCAACGGCACUGUGGGCCAACGGCUGUCGGGCGCGACGCCAGAGGAGGGAGGGUGCGGCAAUGCGGGGUGGUGUGCUGGUGGUCACGCGGAGGUGCGCGCAGAAUGCGCAUGUGGGAACGAGCUGCGAUGCGAGGCUCCAGGCGCGGAAACUGGUUGAGGCAGGAGGUGCCGGGCCGGGGUUGCAUUGACCUAGGAAGCUUGGCGAGCGAAGAGUUGUUCCAGGUGCAAUAUAGAUGCGGGAUCAUCUCACUUCGUCACUUUUUGGCUGUCUGGACCACUCACGGCCGCUUCCCUGCCCGCUGCAUGCAGAGCGGCCGGGCGCGCCGGCGCGGCCGGGCGACGACGGCUCUGGCAUUGUGGCGCCUCGCGUGUCCGCCGCCGGCAUCGGCUGGCGGGCGCACUGGCUACGGCAGCAGGUGCACACACGGGACGAACGAAUUGUUUUCCUUGUGCUCUUUAACACACGGGACGAACGAGUCCGGGCCGCGCAUGUUUGGGGAACGGGGCGGAGAGACAUGGACUUGGGGGCUUAGGCCUGGGGAGCGGGAUGCCCCCUCAUCGCGCAGCGCACUGUCCGCCAGGCCACUGCGGCGAGGCCUUGCAGUGCCGCUGAUCAGCUAAAACAUGAUUAGCUCAAACAUGAUCGGCUCAAAUAUUUGGACCGCCGUGCCUGUCCGCUGUUCCGCAGCGCGGCGUGACGCGCUACAACUGCGCCGACUCGCUGGACCGCACCAACGUGGGCUCCUUCUUCGGGGCGGUGCAGGUGCGAGCGGGCAGCCGCCCAUGGAAGGCGGCAGAAGGGGGCGGGUUGCGAGGGGGGGUUAAGCAAUUCACGCGAAUGGUGUGUAUCAAAGAUGGAAGGGGGGGACGCGGGUGCGGUGCGGGUGCGCGCUCGCGCUUCGCUCAAGCACGUCACUGGGGCGCGGGGCCCCGGGGUCGCGGGUGACAGGGGUUUCGGCCCACAGGCGCGGCAGCUGCACACAUGCCUGCGGUGAUGCCACAAGGACCCACCCUCGCCGACACGCGCACCUUGCCCUGUUUCAUCCCUACCCUUUUCACCCGCAUCUACUGUACCACCUCUCCUCGCUCUUUUGCAAUGCGUUCGGUUUACCGGUACUUUGGGCUAGUGUGCAGUUUCCCCAUGACUUACGGUCCCCGCAUCUCCCGCCUCCACUCCGCGCACCCGCCGCAGGUGAUGAUUGAGCAGUGCCGCGAGCUGGACAUCGCCAUCGCCCGCACCCGCCCCAGCGCCGAGCAGCUGGCGGCGCUGGCGGCGGCCCGCGCAGCGCGCGACCCGCGCACCUUCACCCGCGCCAGCACCAACGCCUCCACCAGCUCGGCCGCCGGCGCUGGUGGCAUCGGCGGCGGCGGCGGUGGCCCCGCUGGUGCGGGGCUGCAGCAGCCCGGCGGCACGCCGGGGCCGCUGGCGAUGACGCAGCCUUACACGCCCGGCGCGGCCGUGGCGGGCGCCCCGGGGGCGAACAACAACGCGGCCGGCAACAUGUUCGGCAUGACGGGGACGGCCGCGGCGGCGGCCGGGGCGGCGAUGCUCGAAAAGUUUGGCAAGCAGGUGCGAGCUGAGUGCCCGCGCGCCUGCUUGGCGUGCCUGUUGCUGCCGGGUUGGGGGUGAACCGCAACGUGCGAAACAGGCACGCCAUCCCAAAUGCGAUCGUCCGCCGAGGCCUCACUCUAGGCUGUGUGCGUGUGCACACCCGCGUGUCCGCAGGUUGCCAACGGCAUCACCACCAUGAUGACCGGCGACGGCCGCAGCCCCAUGCGCGGAGCCAACAUGCCCCCCGGCGCCGGCUACGGCCCCGGUGCCGGCGGCAGCGGCAGCGGCCACGGCAGCUCGCCGAUGCAGCGGGCGGCGCCGCCCCCCGGAGCAGGAGGCCCCGCAACGCCUGGCCCAGCGCCGGCGGCGGGGCCGGCGGCGGGCGCUCCGGAUGCGCCGCUGCAGAAGAAGAUCACCAUUGCGCCGGACGGCCUCCCGCUGCCACCCGUGAGCGGGGGGGCGCGGAUACGGGGCUACUGGGCAGGGGCAGGGGCCGACACCAUACCACCGCUAUGUGCCUACUAUCACUCGGCCCGCCGCUGCCGCUGCUUUGUCCCUCUCCCAAUCGACCUGCUCCCUGUGCCUCCCUCUGCCUCCCUCCGCCUGCCUCCGCCUCCCGCUCCAUUCUCCACAUGAACGGCUGUUCCCCCAUCACUCCUUGCUUCACACGAACGGCUACCCCCCCCUGUACCUUUGCACCUGGCUACGACUUCACUUCGUAAACGUAAUGCAUGUAACCCCCCCGCUCCCCCCGUCGCAGGGCUGGGAGGCCAAGAUCGACAAGACCAGCAACCGCAUCUUCUACGUGGACCACAACAGCCGCUCCACCACCUGGGAGCGCCCGCCCGUGCCCGCCUCCGGCCGCCUGUCCUCGGACGCGCUCAGCACCGUUUUCCAGCCCGGCAGCGGACCCGGCGGCCAGGUGCGCACGCGCAGGGCCGCCCCGCGCCCCUGGCCUUCAGUGCCGCCGUUGCCGUCGCGCUCGUGUUUUGCUAGUUAUGCCUGGAAAGGCCCCUGUUUGCGCCGGCGCACGCUUGCAUGCAUGGGCGGCGGGACAGGGCUGGGGCGCGGCUGGAGGGGGCAGCGCGGGGCAGGACACGUUGGGGCGGCAGCGCUGGCUUGGGGUCUCAGGCAGCCGGGAGGUGUUUCUUGCUGCGCGUGCGCCUUCGCUGCACGUCCGACGCCUCACGGUUCCUUGUCCUGCUAUGCAACACGCAGCAUGUGACGGCCCUGGGCGCGGCGACGCCGGGGGGCGGCAACGGCGCGCCGCCGCACAUGCGCAUGCCGGGGCAGGAGCCGCGCGGGCCGGCCCUCAGCGUCGGCAGCGUGACCUCCAGCCAGGCUGCGCCGGGGGCGCAGGUGCCCCUCACGCCCCGCGCGUCGACGCCACACGCCGCAGGUGCGCCUUUGCACCCAACAUUUUGCUUCACCUGUAGCAGCACGUAUGCGCUCACGGUGGCAACGCGCUCACAGCAUCCACCACAAAGCAAACUGCCACAGCGGAAGGCGGCCCUGGUCCCCCGCACCUCAUCCAAAUCCAUGUCAUGUCACCAUCGCAUGCUCAUGGAGUCAUGCGGCUUGAGCUGAUCCCAUUGGCUUCUAUGGUGUAGACUCGCCCGGGGACGCUCUGGGCCAGGUCCGCGCCGGUCCCACCGGCGGCAGCCACAACCGCACCGACUCGGCGGAGGGCGCGGAGCCGGAGCGCUUCGAGCCGCUCACGCCCUGGUGCAUGCUGCGGCAGGUGCGCAGCAGGCCGCUCCGCUUCUGAAAGGGGGGGUACCGGCCAUGAGGAGAACGGGGCGGUUGGGGGGUCGUCGUCCAUGAAAUGAAGGUUCGAGAGGCAGGCGGAUGCCAUAGUGUGCGUCAGAUACGCGUGACGUGCCGGGCCGGGCCGGGCCGGGCCGGGCCGGGUGAGCGGCUGUUCGUCGGGCUGCCCAGGCCCCACUGUCCGCCGCCUGCGUGGCUGCGCCCCCUUCAUCUCUGCACUGCUGCCCCCACCCCAGGUCACCACCUGCCACGCUGCCACGCCCCCUCCCCCGUCAAUGUUCAUCAUGCAUGGACACACACACACACACACACACACACACACACACACACACACACACACGCAGGUGGGCCGUGUGGCGGGCAUCAGCCGCCGCAUCCAUCCCGAGGCGCUGUCCAUGCUGGCCGAGCUGUUCCUGGUGAACGGCGACAUGUGCGCCUGGCUCUACACCGGCUCGCAGGUGGGGGGCUGCGGCGGGCGGUGGGAGGAGGCGCUUUAGCAGGCCUAGUUGCGGUGACGGUGGUGGUGGUGGGGAACCGGCGCGUGGCAGGGGCCGCGGAACUGAUCUUCCUGCACACGUAUGGCUACACGCACAUGCCACUCUGGCGAGCUCUUGGGCGAUUCGUUGCGUUUUCUAACACACACACACACACACACACACACAUACACACACACACACACACGCACGCGCAUGCACACACACACACGCACGCGCAUACGCAGGCCAUGCACAGCGAGCGCAUUCUGAUCUUUGAGCCGGAGACGUCCAAGCUGCGCAAGGCGGGUGUGGGCGCGUACGGCAACGCCAUCGUGGCUGUGAAGCGGCGCUACAACAACGUGGUGGUCGACAAGGAGAAGCAGUCCAUGAUUGACGUGCGUGGCGGGGCGGGGCGUGUGUGCGUGUGUGUUUUUGUGUGGAGAGAGGGUUGAGGAGCGUGUGUGUGUGUGUGUGUGUAAGGGGGGGCGGGGCUGCAGGCUGCAUGUGUGCAUGUUUGGGUGUGACGUUCUCUUCUUGUUUGUCACCUACUCGUGCUUGCUUUGUCCUCAUCCGUAUGGCACACACACGCACCUAAUACACACACACAUACACGCACACACACACACACACACACACACACACACACACACACACACACACACACACACACAGGUGUUCCUGGGCUACAAGCAGCGCGAGUACUUCCCCUCCGCCUGGCUGGCCUACCAGGUGCGCCCCAUCGGACCCGCACUGCACCGCACCCAGCACGGGCAACGACACAACCUCCCGGUCGCACGCCGCCGCUGCUCCCACAUAUGCGGCAACCCGCGGCACCAUGCGGCAACCCGCCGAACCCCUUACCACCCUUAUCUUUACGCCCUUCCCCCGUCCCCCGCCAUCUUCCACAUGAACGGCUGCGUGCCCGGCAGGUCUGGGACAAGGAGGGUGUGCCGCUGGAGGGCGACGAGGCGGACGACCUGGACGGCGAGCCCGUGGGCCAGAUCGACUGGCCGCUGCCGGAGCGCAACGCCGGCCACCACAUGCACCCCAUGUACGGCGCGAUGGGCUCCUCCGCCUCCGUCAGCGGGCCGUCGGGAGGCGGCGUGGGAGGCGGGUUGCACAGCUACAGCUUGGGUAUGUCGCACGGUGUGGGGCUGGGCGCGCCGCACCACGCGCAGCCGGGGGCGGUGCACGCGGGCGGCUACAGCAGCACCACGGCGGCGGCGGGCGUGCCGGGGCCCGGGCUGGCGGGGCUGGGCGGCUUCGGCGCGGGAGGCGGUGUCGUGGCGGGCGGCGUGGCGGGCGGCAAGGCGGGGCUGGGCGGGGGCGCGGGCCUGGGGCACGUGUACAGCGUGGGCGACCUGGCGGCGGCGGGCUCGGCGGCGGCGGUGGUGGGCGCGGCAGGAGGCGGCGGGCCCGCCAGUGGACCCGCCUCGGCGCAGCUGGCCGGCGGCAACAGGUGCGCGUGCGCUGAAGCUCCGGUGGUAUCAUGGACAUAUGCUGGGUUGUCGGUGUGGGUCCUGCCUGUGGGAUCCAGUGCUGCGCCAAACUCCUAACCCUGCCACUAUCGCCGGCGCUCUCUCUCCCCCUGCUUUUACCAUUGUGCCUGGCUACAACUUCGCUCCUCUUCAUUAGCCACGAACGUAACCCCGCCUCCCCUGUGUAUCGCUUGCAGCCGUCCGUCCCGCCGCGGCAAGUCCAUGAGCACGGAGGAGCUGGCCGAGCAGCUGAAGCAGAUCCACCUGCACAGCCAGCUCACGGACGAGCAGAUGAGGGCCAUGCGCAAGGUGCGGGCGUGCGUGCGUGCAGGGGGUGUGUGUUGUAGAAACCAGCCCAAACUAAACCGAGCCCAAUGCAAAAGAGCGAGGAGGAGAGCGUGGCCUAUGGUUUGAGACGGUGUGGCACUCGUGGGGUGGCGUGUUCGUGGGGCGUCGUCGCGCGGUGUGCCCGGUGCUCUCGUGCCGCUCGCUGUGGUUCAACACACACACGUACACACGCCCAUGUGCACACGCCCACAUACACACGCCCACGUACACACGCCUACGUAGACACGCCCACGUACACACGCCCGCGUACACACGCCCACGUACACACGCCCACGAUCACACAUGCCCACGUAGACACGCCCGCGUACACACGCCCACGUACACACGCCCAGGUAGACACGUGCCCAUGUACAUACGCCCGCGUACACACGCCCACGUAGACACGCCUACGUACACAUGCCCACGUACACACGCCCACGUAGACACGCCUAGGUAGACACGCCCACGUACACACGCCUACAUAGACACGCCCACGUAGACACGUGCCCAUGUACACACGCCCGCGUACACACGCCCAUGUGCACGCGCCUACGUAGACAUGCCCACGUAGACACGCCCACAUAGACACGCCCACAUAGACACGCCCACAUAGACACGCCCACGUAGACACGCCCACGUACACACGCCCGCGUACACACGCCCACGUACACACGCCCACGAUCACACAUGCCCACGUAGACACGCCCACGUAGACACGCCCGCGUAAACACGCCUACGUAGACACGUGCCCACGUAGACACGCCCACGUACACACGCCCACGAUCACACAUGCCCACGUAGACACGCCCGCGUACACACGCCCAUGUACACACGCCCACGUAGACACGCCCACGUAGACAUGUGCCCACGUACACACGCCCGCGUACACACGCCCACGUACACACGCCCACGUAGACACGUGCCCACUUAGACACGCCUACAUAGACACGUGCCCACGUAGACACGCCCACGUAGACACGCCCACGUACACACGCCUACUUAGACACGCCCACGUACACACGCCUACGUAGACAUGCCUACGUAGACACGCCAACGUAGACACGUGCCCACGUAGACACGCCUACGUAGACACGCCCACGUACACACGCCUACUUAGACACGCCCACGUAGACACGCCAACGUACACACGCCCACGUAGACACGCCUACGUAGACACACCUACGUAGACACGCCCACGUAGACACGCCCACGUACACACGCCCACGUACACACGCCCACGUAGACACGCCCACGUAGACACGCCCACGUAGACACGCCUACGUAGACAUGCCUACGUAGACACGCCAACGUAGACACGUGCCCACGUAGACACGCCUACGUAGACACGCCCACGUAGACACGCCCACGUACACACGCCUACUUAGACACGCCCACGUACAUACGCCAACGUAGACACGCCAACGUACACACGCCCACGUAGACACGCCUACGUAGACACACCUACGUGGACACGCCCACGUAGACACGCCCACGUACACACGCCCACGUAGACACGCCCACGUAGACACGCCCACGUAGACACGCCCACGUAGACACGCCUACGUAGACACGCCUACGUAGACACGCCCACGUAGACACGCCUACGUAGACACACGUCUACGUACACACGCCUACGUAGACACAUGCCCACGUAGACACGCCCACGUAGACACUUGCCCACGUACACACACGCCCACGUACACACACGCCCACAUACACACACACGCCCAUGUACGCACGCGCAGGCCGGCAGCGAGGCCGUGCUGACGUCCCUGGACAGCGCCAACAGCGUGGACCUGAUCCAGCUGGGCGGCCCGGACGAGAGCGAGACGUCCUCCGUGGCCUCGGCCUCGCUGGCGGCGGCGCCGUCGCGCCCGGGCACCGGGCUGCCGGCCUACGCCAGCGACCAGGCGGUGGGUAUGUGUGGGGGGGGACUGUGAGGAGGUGGAGGGAGGUGGGUUGGGUAGGUGGCAAAGAUGGUACAGAGAAGUGUAGCGACGAAGGGGGGGCUGCGUGGGGAGGGGCGCCGCAGGGGUGAUGUGGAGGAGAACUGUGCGCGGGUACCCGAGGUUGUGGUUGGGUGGAGGGGUGGGGUUUAACCGCCUUCAGGGCAGAACUGACCGAGACGCAGGUGUGGGUUGGUUGAUGCCCUUACAGGGAGUCUGGGGCAGUUGGAGCAUGCGUAUACCGUCAGCCCCCCCGCCCACUGGAGGCUGACGCGGGCUCCCGUCCCUCCGCCGCUUGCUCCCCAUCCCCUACCACUUCCAUUACUAGUCAUGAAUGUAGCCCCUUUCCCUCCCCUCACGCGCGCAGCUGCUCAUGCACCACAGCGCCAGCGAGGAGCAGAUAGGCCUGGGCGCCGCCGGGGCCGCGCAUGGCGGCGGCGCCGGCGCCGGCCUGUCGCCGCUGCAUGCGUCAUCCGGGGUGGCCGCGGGCUUCACGGACUGGGCGCAGUUCUCGGACGACGCCAGCGGCACCGGCACCGGCAGCAACACGCCCGACCGGCGCGGCGCGCCCUCCGGCCUCAAGCCGGCGCUGAAGAAGCCCGCGCCGCCCUCCGUGACGGACCCGCUCGCCUCGCUGCUGGACUCGGAGCUGUUGUAGCACCGGCGCCUGCGCAGCUGCUGAGGAGCGGGGCGGAGCGGAGCGGGGCCGCUGCGGAGCGGGGCGGAGCGAGGUGGCAUUGAACGCGCGGGCGCUGCUGUGUGCGCGAUGGGGCUCAUAUGGAUGCGGGCUGCAGGGCCCAGGGCGGCCCAGGGCUCGCCAUGCACGGGUGCGCACUGGCUGCUGUCAUCGUGGUUCUGGAGGCGGCGGGAGGCGGCGCUGGCGCCGCCACUUGCUCUGGUGUUAGGAGGGCACAAGGGGAAGGGGUCGACACGCUCCGGUCUUAUAGGGUGCGGGGCGACGGGGCCUGGCUGUGUGGACGGGUAGGUGUUUUGACGAUGGGGGAUGGCGUCUGCGUGAUUCGGCGUUCAAAUAUCGCGGUGCGGUGCGGGGCUCCCUAAGCCCCGCCUGGUAUACAGUGGUAGUGCCCGAGUGGUCAGCAAUCUAGUACGGCGGGGUUAGGGCGUCCAUUGGACGGCACGCUGUGAUUCGGGCGUGUGCCGGUGUCUACCUGUCGCGUGGGGCACCGGUGUGUGGGGUCGCGCCUAGGACUGCGGUGACCCUGGGGCACGCAGGCACGCGUGAACGGGGUGGUUGGCCUCGAGCGCAUAUGAGUCAUGUCAAAUGCCAAAUGUGUAAGACGCCAUUUCAGAAAAAUAUAAGCUAGUGUGAAUGCGCGAGAUGGACGGGCCGUGGAAUGGAACUCGGGAUUCCGCGAAUUUCCCGUUGAUCCCGUCUUACCGCUAGCCCUCUUACACCGUCCUUAGUGGUCGUCUGUCCUAGGCGCAAACUCAAUACAUGGCUUCGGCGUGUGGGGACGCGGCGUUGGCGAGUGCCACGAAUGGCCCUAAUACCGUGGGGGCAUGUUGUGAUGUUGGGUGACGUGACAGCGACAGGGAAUCAGGCAGUAAGCCGCCGUUACAAGGCAGAUGCGCAUCGGCGAUGGUCAGCCCCAGCAGCCACUCGCAACACCACGACACACAGAUUCAUCACGGUACCGUCCGUCCGUACUGCUUAUGUACUGCACCCGCACGGCCGCAACCACCACCGCCAGCAAGCUCAGCCCAAGGUAACGCCUACACGGCAAUCCCUACGACGCGCCCGCGAGUGCCCUCAGCGGGACUGCCAGGGCGACCGGCUGCUGCGCGGGCGGCUGCUGUUGUGGCCGCCCGCGCCCACCACGCAUGGCAUCUGGCGCCAGCACUCCCGCCGCCAACCCGUGGGGGUGGGGCUGGUGCCGGAGCUGUUCCUCUGGCUGCUGCUGCGCCUCUAAUGAUUCUGUUCGAUGCGGCGUCUGCUGCGGCUCCUGCAGCAGCCGCAGCUCCUGCUGCUGAUGUUGCGGCGGCGCUUGCCGGCGCCGCAGAAUGGGCUCGGCGCUGAACUGGGGCAUCCAUGCCCGCCGCAUGUGGCGAGAGGUGUUGGGUCCGGAGGCGUGGAGCAGGGUGUCUAAGAAGACCACCUGUGCGGGGGCCAGGGCAGGUCGGGGCGGAGAGGGGGGCAUCGUGGGUGGGUGCCAGCGCAAAGCCACGUCGCGUGCUCACCCAUGUGCGCUAGAGCAGCACAAGGGGUGCACAGCGCGUCCCUAUUCCUAUCGAAGGCAGGGCAGCAUCUGAAAGUUAGGCUACGGAGGCUGCGGCACGGAGCACGCGAUCGAGCGGCAACUGCAAGGCCGCCUUGUUCCGCCGCCCAUGUGCAACACUCACCACGGUGCCAGCGGGCACGAGCAGAAGCUGAUGCGGCGCUGCCGCAGCUGUAGCUGCCGAAGGCGCCGCGCCCGCCAAAGCACAAGCACAAGCGUCGAUCCCCGCGCCGCCGCCUUGCACACCCGCCACAGGCGCCGCAGCAGCCGCGGGCGGUGCUGGGGCCAAGUGGCUGCGCGGCACAACAGCCAGCGCUCCGUUCUCUGCGGAGUGCGCAAAGGGGUGAGGCGGUUACGGCGUAGCGCAGUCACGUGGCCCUGCCCCGAUGGCCCCCGGCCCCGCAAGCAGUCAGCUUGCACAAUACCCUGCAGCUCACACGGGCACCUCCGGCCCACCCGCCCACCUGCAUCCAUGUCAUCAAGAGCCGCCCAGACCUGCAGCGAGGGCGGCAGGGCGGGGGCGACCACAAGGUGGGGCAGCAGCAGCAGCAGCAGCAGCAGCAGCAGCAGCAGCAGCAGCGGCAGCAGCGCCUCCCUUCCCGACAACGCAUCCGACGCAUGCUCCCAGACUUUCCAGGCAACACCGGCCGCGGCAACUAAUGCCCGACGUCGGCGCGGCAUGGCCUGCUUCCCAGCGGCGACGCGCGCCCUGCCACGCGCGCCGUCACCGACAACACGCCGCGCGCGUGUGACCACGACCAAGACCAUGACCGCAGCGUCCCGUCCACGGUCCUCCGCAGCCACACACUGCCAGGGACCCACAUCUCCCACCCCCACACCGCGGCCACACCGGCCACACGCCACUCACAGAUAUGUAGGGGCUGUACUGGAACUCGGGCCGCCCCCGGCACCAGUCCGAGUCGCGGUGCCAGCCGAACGCGCAGCGAGCCGAGCUGCGUGGCGGCUUGAUAAUGAACUGCUCAUUGAACAGGUAGGGGCCCCCGCCACUGCUGCUACUGCCGCUACUGCCGAUGCCGCUGCUGCUACUGCCCUCGCCAUUAUUGCGGCUACUGCAGCUGCAGCCGCACGUGCCGCCAUCGCCGCUGCAAGUACCGGUAUUGCUAACCGACCCAGCAGCGACAGCACUCGCCACCUGCUGCGCGCAGCUUGUGUCUGAGGGCAGCGGCGGCAGAAUGCCGCCCCCGCCCUCGCCUCUGCCGCAGCCGCAGCCGCCACGGCAUGCGGCUGCCCCCGCACUAGCAACCGCGGGGUGCCUGCCGCCCCCUGUCGCAGCAGCCUCGUAAGGUGCCGCUGCUGCACACGCAUGGCCAUCAGGCGUUGCCGCGAUGCCGCCGUGUGCAAUCUGGUCCGCAGCAGCCUGUUCCGCACCGUCGGCGUCUUUACCGCUGUCGCCAGCGCCGGCUGCUGGCAUGCCGACGCCUGCAGUCCCAGGCCCAGGCCCAGCCCCAGCCCCAGCCCCAGCCCGGAGGUGAGGCUGGCUGAGCACCUCCAAGGGAAAGCCCAGUGCGGCGCAGACCAGCGCAUGCAGCUUGGCACAGCCCAUCAGGCCAAGCCCGGGCAGCCGCAUCGCAGACGAGCCAGCCUGCAGCAUGGCCAUGUGCGCGGCGGGCGCUGCUGACGCUAGGCCGCCGCCCGCCAGUACGGGGUUGCGGCCCCAGGCGCCUUCCUGGCCUGAGCAUCCCGGGGCUGUUAGUUCUGCUGGCAAGCAGCUGUAAGCGGGGCGCACCACCUCGAAAACGCAACCCCUGUGAGGCGGUAAGAUGCAAGGGUGUGUGUGUGUGUGUGUGUGUGUGUGUGUGUGUGUGUGUGUGUGUGUGUGUGUGUGUGUGUGUGUGUGUGUGUGUGUGUGUGUGUGUGUGUGUGUGUGUGUGUGUGUUUCAGCCCUGAUGGCGGGCACGAGAAACAUCAGCCAACAAGGGGAGGCGGCAACCAUUACCUGCUUGCUGCAAUUGACUCGCUGUCACCGUGGUCAUACGCUCCGCUCGCCUCCAGAACGUGCUCGGCCUCCUGUCAAACGCGUCAGUUUGGCCCAUGAUACUAUGAAUCAAUCAAAACACGUUGCAUACUUGAAGCUUACAUAUCGCAGCUGGUCUAGCUCGUUUUCGUCGAAAAAGCGGGGUAGCACCGCGUACCCGUUUAUGCAUAGCUCGGCUCUUACGCCUAAGAAAUUCAUAGCAGACAUUGUAAAUAUUUAAUCUCGAUAACAAUGAUACGUAACCUAGCUCUGAUUGCACCUUCCCGCCAAAAGUUUUGGCGGGAAGGUGCACCACCUCUUCGAUGAGCAGGCGAGCUUCCGGCAUGGCAGCUGCCUCGGCAGCCCCUCGGCAGCCCCUAGCCUUUAGUGCCUUGGCCGUGAGCUCCAGCCAGGUGGCUUGCUGGCUGCACUGGUAUGAGUCUUCAAGACUGGUUGGAGCGGAACACGUGUGUAAAAAGUAAGCCCGCACGGCGUAGGCCAGGAACGCCAACGUUGAGGAACGCUGGGGUUGAGUGCACCACACGAGUGCACCAGUCGAAAGGAGAUUGAUAGGCUGAUGCGGCUUUCCCAGCUGCCCCUACUUCCAGCCCCCACACCCCUCCUGCCCAAUGCUGCCACAAGCGAUUCCCGACCCAAACGCCCAAACCGCCCUCUGCAACCCCCCACCCGCUUCCAGUCGGACAACGCGCCAACUGUCGCCUUCAUCGACACUUCGCAACUGGUCGCUGGUAACAACCCCUCGCUCCCGGGGCUCGUGCGCGGUACCACACGCCUUCUGUUGUUACAUAGCGGACAGUAAAGCCCGCAUGAUCCGUGCAUCUUGUUCACAACCUCCCUGACUCUCCCACAACGCCCGAUGCUCUCAACGUCAACCCUGCCCCAAUGCUCUCAAUCAGCAUGCAUCCCUUCCCUGUUGCGCAAUCUCCCAAGCAAGCCCCGUCAUUGGCGUGCUCCGGCCUCCGGGUCAAGAGUAAGUCCGAAUUAUAGUAAAAGGCAGCUGCGGGCGCAACGAACCAUGCAUGUGCGUGUGUGCGUGUGGGGGAGCAUGCGCGCCCUCAAUGGACAGGAAUCGAGGCGAAACCCACCCUCAGACUGCAUGCCUCCACCCACACGCGCUUGAUCGAUCCUCUGAGCAGUGCAGAUCGUACGUACGUAGCAUAAAUCCGGUUUCCCACAGACGCAAUUACGUAUCGCUACUCCUACUCCCGACACUCACCCUGCCACACACACACACACACAAAGCUGGCCCGCCACUCCCAUCCACAAACCGAACCGAGACGCCACCAGACAAGUGCUCCCCGGUCAAGAGACAAGGGGCUGAACCCCUCCACAGUCUGAGGCCGAACAACCUCAUCGCCCGGACAUAGCCGGGGUCGGUUUCCACAGGCACAUAGCCAAACCAGGUGCCUAGCAAUCCAAACCGCCACCAGAAAAGCAUCGCUGCCAUCCGCCCCCACUCAUCAUAGGUAAUACUGUACUCUCCCAUUUGCCAUGGGCUAUUACUUACUUGCCACGGAUCUCGUGUUUGGUCUCCAUCCGCAUCAUCCCGGGUCCGAACAGUAUGCUAUCCGCACGCUGCAAUGUGGCACGCCGCCAAGCGGCCCCUGCGCCGUGCUACAGCCGCUUGCUGCCUGCUCCGUGCUACAGCCUGCCUUCCUGGGCACUGCGGCGGCUGGGUCGGUCCGCCCUGCCGGCGCAGCACAGCGCUCUGCCGUCCACCAGCUGCUCUUACUUCGGGCUGCCCUCCGCGCCGUCCGGAAGGGGUGGCGGCGGGCAGCAGCAGGCGGGGGCGGCUGCCGUGUGCGUCUAGCCGCGCGGAGCGACGUGCUGCUGAGUAAUGCUGCAGGCCAGUCGGGGACAAGGGGCGGGAGAGGUUGGUUCCUUGAACACACACACACACACACACAAUGGGUGAAGCACGCACACACGUCACCCACACACACGACCCGGCAACGCCCACUCCACCCGCAGGCUCAGGCCCUGUCUAGCACAGGGCAAUGCCUUGCAGCCCCCACGCCGCCCCCCACUCCGCCCCCCAUGCCGGCCCCCACGCACCAGUGCACGUUUCCGGCGUUGAGCAGCACGUCGCGGCUGUGCACGCCCACCACCUUGCGGCCGGGGUAGGCCUUGGACAGGAUCUCCAGUGCCAGCUCGUCAGACUUGGACUGUUGUGGGUGGUGGGAGGAGGGAGGAGGGAGCAGGGAGCAGCGAGGAGGCAGAGGUGGGCAGCGAGGUGUGAUGGGCAUUUUGGGGAGCUGGUAGGCAAGGGCGGGUCCAACCAUGGCGACUGCCCACCUAAGAGCCACUGACCCCCAGCAAGCAGCAGAGCUGCAGACCUUUCCAGCGGCAAUGCACGUAUAACACACACACACUGUUCACACACACACACACAAACACACAUACCCACAUACCCACAUACACACACUACACACACACACACACACACACACACACUACGCACACUUCACACACACACGCGCGCGCACGCACCUGCGCGCCGCCGAACUGCGGGCACACGAUGCCGCCGUUGGCGAUGUAGUGGUUGAUGUAGCUGGCGGCCAGGCGCUCGCCGGCCACGCGCGGCACGUAGCCCUUCUUGGCGUGGUCGGGGUGCAUGCCGUUGGCCUCCUUGAAGGAGCGGAACAUGCCGGGCGUGGGCGCGGGCAGCUUGAUCACCUGUGCAGGUGUGGGGUGGAGGCGGAGGAGGGGCCGUGAGGGAGAGGGCAAUGAGGUGGGGUUCGAGGGCUAUGGGUAGUCCAGGUGGGUGCGAGGGCACGGUGUGAGGGCUAGCUGAAGCUUGGGUGUGGAAUGUGUGCGGCACGCAGACAGGCCAGGGCGUGCCGCACAUGCCGGCACGACUAUUGCUGUCCACAGUCCAACCAUCUAUCCAGAGGGCUACGGCAUCCGCUACACCUGCGACCCGCCCACCCCCCAAACACACACGCGCGCGCUAUAUUCUCCGUGUGCUCUGCGCGCUCGCGCUCACCUUGAUGCGGCGGCCCAGGGCGUCCUCGGUGUUCUCUAGGAUCUCCAGGUUGCGCGCCGACACCUCGUGCUGCGGGUCGUUGGGGUCGUCGCACCAGGACAGCAGGAUGGUGCCGGGCUCGGAGAAGGUGGCCAUGUUGUCCACGUGCCCGUUCACCACCUGCGCGUAAGCGAAGCAGUGUGUGUUAAAGAGCACAAGGAAACAUUACGCGUAGGACAGUGUAUGCGUGUGUGUGUGUGUGUGUGUGUGUGUGUGUGUUUGUGUGUUAGGAAAGCACAAGGGGAAAGGGUCGACACUGCACGAGGAAGCGCGAACGUGUGCUGCGUUUGGCGUGAGAGAGCACAAGGUCAGGAAACGUGCACGCAUGUGUGUGUGUGUGUGUGUGUGUGUGUGUGUGUGUGCGUGUGUGUCCCGCCUGCCUAUAGCUACGGGUGCACUCACGUGGUCGUCUCCCAUCAUGCCCUUCCACAGCCAGAUGAUCUUCUCCAGCCCCAGGUACUCCUUGAGCAUGCGCUCAAUGCCCUCCUUGCCCAGGUGCGGGUUGCGGCUGGGAUGCAGCAGGCACUCCUCAGUCACAACCAGCGUGCUGCCAGGCGAGGGGCAAGGAUGGAGGUCGUAGCCACGGGAGGGGAGGGGAGAGCAAGGGAGGGGAGAGCAAGGGGGGGAGGUGGAAGUGGGCACGUGAGAGAUGUGGGCGGUAGGGGGUGGACGGGUAGGGUGGGGUGGAUGGGCUGGUCACACACACCGUGGCUGGGUGUACAUGACCACACCGACUGCUACCAGCACAGCGAUCCUCGUGCAGCCUCGUGUGUGUGCCACUGACUCACCCCUGGCCGUCCGAGUGGAUGGAGCCGCCCUCCAGGUGCAGGGGGCACUCGAAGGCCUUGAGGCCCGCCCAGUCCAGAAUGGCGCGGCCGGCGGCGUGGUCCUUCUGCCACUCAGGCAUCAUCUGGGUGGGUGGGUGGGGAUGGGUGGGGUGGAAGCAGGUGGGGAAGGUGGGUUGCAGCAGCCAGGUAAAGCCGCGAGCAGAGCAGCGGUACGCGGACGCAGUGUAUUGGCGGCAGUGCAGCAGCCCACCGCGCAUUCCGACCGGGUGCAGCGCAUGCAUGCACGUACAAGCCCGUCCGCCAAGGGCGCGCUACCACGCGUGCCGCGCUACCCUCUCCCUCCGCAUCUCUCCCUGACUCCCUCCCUCCCUCCCCACCCCUGACUCCCUCCUCCACCUGACUCCCUCCCCCUGACUCCUCCCUCUCCCUCUCCCUCACCGCGGGCAGGCCCAGCUUCUUCUUGCCGGGCGCGCCGUAGCAGUCGUAGUCCCAGUGCACGCCCGCCACCUCGCGUUUGCCGGUCUUGGGGUCGUCGCGCACCACACACUGAGGCGACAGGAUGCAGGCAGGACAGGGAGGCGGGAGGGGGGUUGUUUGCACCAUCCAAUGGGAACCAUAAGUAAGAGGCACAGGGGGCGCGACAAGGGGAAGGGAAUUGGCCGAGCCCGGUGGACCGGGGGGGGAGGCAGCGGGAGGACAGGGGCCUGCCAAGGACCGGGUGGCAGGCAGCAGCGUUGCGAGUUCACUAGGGCAAUGUACUGAACAAGACAUGUACACAACUCACGGUUGGGCCCCAGUCGCGCAGCCAGCCAUCCUCGAUGGGCAUCUCCACCACCGUGACGCCGCUCACGCCGCGGAAGUGGUUGCGGGCGGACUGGAUCGACUGCGCGGGGGAAGAAGAGAGGUGGGGAGGACGGCGGCAAAGGCAGAGCGAGCGGGUUAGGGUGGGGCGCUGAGAAGAGGGAGCUCCAGCGUGGUGGGAGCGGGACGCUCUGAGACGCGAGACAGGACGGGACUAUGAUUGGGUGUUUACGGGAGGGGGUUCUGAGUGACCGGGGAUGCCAUCCGAAGUUCGGGUCAUGACACGUACCGAGGGGUCGGCGAACAUCCAGACGGGCUCGAACUCGCUGAUGGCCUUGGCGAUGGCGGCGUACUGCUGCUGAGCAGGCUUGGCGUUCUCGCGCCACAGGUAGGGGCUAUAAGGCCAGCCCAUCCAGCAGCCCACGUGCGGCUCAAACUCGCCCUGCAGGUGGAGGGCCAGCGUCACAGCGAGACAAGACAAAACACACGAGAGCGGGAAAGGCAGUGGCCAAAACCGAUCACGUGGAAUGGUUUUGGCUAGACACAAAGGCUGCUGCCAGGCAUCUCGAUCAAGCCCCGAGGCACCCUUCGCAACAUAGGUUCGCUGGCAACGGAAGCCAGAGCGAAAGAGAGACAGCAGGACCGAUUCCUCAACCGUCGCGAGACAGGGAGACAGCUGUUAAACUUACCGGCAUAGUGUAGCCCAGGCUUUUGGGAGUUGCCUCAGAGGCAGCCGACGCCAUGCCAGCCAUGUUCUGCGCGUUGGCAGCAACGAGGCCCAUUCCGCCUGUCGCGCCUGCGUGCGUGGAAGGUUCAUACCGCGUGCUCAAGCCAUGAACGAGUAUGCAGUACCACGUGACUCUACAAAAGCCGGAUGAAUGGGUAGAAGACGACCGGCGCGACCGAAUCUUCAUCUUCAUCGCGUAAACCGCGUCGCCAGCACGGGGACUAACAUCGACCGAGCCACAGGUAGCAGAAUAACGCGAGCGUCCAUUCAAAAUUCCCGAUCAGCAUCGAACACGCGCCAGGACUCACCGGCAGCACCGCCCAUGGCCUUGGCAGCCACCUGGCCUGCCAGACCCAGCGCCUUGGCAGUCUUCAGCAUGGUGACGUGUAUAUUGGACUAAGUACCCAAGUUAGGUUUCAGUGGGGAAUGUGUUACGCGUUCGCAACGGCCUGCUUUAUACCGCUUUGCAGGGACCGCCGCGUACGGCGUUGACCCCUCGCUCCGAUCCACAAAUUCGCUCCAGGGCGCCAAUUGCUGAUGCGUCAAUUGCAUCCAUAAACUUGCAAUCGUGCAAAUAGUAAAGCACAAGUCACUUGGGCAUCGACGUUCAAAGUAGUCCAGCAGCAUUUCAGCUGGUCGGUUGGCUGAGCACGCACGUGAAGUAGUUUCAGUUCGAGGUGACAUUUUCUAGAUUGCUGGAGUUUACUGGGUCACUUAGUCAAGCGCAACGCACCGCACGAGACGCGGUAAGCGAGGCGACGCGGGCGGCGAUAUCUUACUUGCAUACUAGGGUUUCAACUUUGCCUACAGCACCGAACUUUGCAACCAUACAGAAUGUUCUUGUGAUCGACUGGGACGUCAAGGAUUACGGCUAAGGGUCUUUGGGGCCAGCGCGCAAGCCACGGCGUUCGGCCAAGGGCUUCCAUAAUCGGCAAUGAGGGAAUUUACAAAAACUACGCCCCGACCGCGCGCUGAGCUUUGUGACUAGAAAUAAGGCUCUCAGCAUUCUGCGUCCAUAAUCCAAUGGUUUGGGUGGCCUGGCGCGAAGUUCACUACAAGACAUUUACGAAAGCGCCCUUUGCCUCGCCCUAACUUCUGCAGGACUUCUUCGCUGAGCAUCUUUUCGAGUACGCCCAAGCGACGUAGCACUACUAUACAAUGAGCGAUCGUAAGUAAUGCGAAAGCAAGGCAGUACGGGAGUCAUCGGCGUUUUAGUGACAACCCUAGUUGCUCGUGCAUCGUGGCGCCACACCGAUCGACCAACCAUUGCGGCAUACUUCACAGCGCCGCCUCCUUGUCGCAAGUCCUCGUGGCAACACGGGGCUUGGGCUGGGCCUGGGGUUGCGACGUGCGCCCCUUUGCAUUACUCCAAGACGAGAAUGGUUUUCGCUGGCACGCCAUAUGCUCUGGGACACUAGUGACGGGCGGAACGCACCUAAUCUGCCUCAACGUGUUAGCGGCCCAGCCAUUCAAUCCGCUAAUGUGCAAGUGCCGGUUUCUGUGCUGAUUCCAGGCUGACGAGUUUAAGUGGCACGGGUCUGCAGAAAGCAUGUGUUUCAGUGUUUGCCCAGAGUUUGCCUUUCCGGACUAUGCGACACUCCCCUUGGGUUACCCAAACAACAACGUCCUGAUCCCCGCUGGCACACAGAAACCUACUGCACAGAGGAGAACUUCGAGAUAUCUCCUGGCGUUUUCACGCAUGGCCUCACAGUGGAGGAGGUGAAUCCUCGUUCGUGGAUGCACAUCCUAGGCAUGUUUGCGCAAGGGCUCGGUUGAGCGGCGUCCCAGUCAGCGCACACUUGGCUCGGCGGGGAUUUUAGGCCGGGUGGGCACACACAAGUCUGUCGCUUGCUGCACAUUGCUGUGUGCGCACCCGCCCCACUCACGGUCUGUGUCAAACCUUUCCUUUGGGUGCUCUCCUAACACUGAAACACACAGGUCAACGCCCAGUAUGGCUGUUGCCAGAAGUUCGUGUGCAACAUCCCCUGCCCCCAGCCCUUCGACAACUCGGGUGUGGCCGUGCAGUACGGCAUCCCCGUGGCGGUGGUGUCCUUAUCGGUGAGCGCGUGGAAGGUGUAUGCUGGGGAGCAGGGGUUUUGGAUCCGUGCCUGCUGUGGUUUGGAUCCCGCAUGAUUCCUUGAUUCUGGGCCCCAUCCACGAGGCUGGACAAGGCAUGAGCGAUUGAGCGCGAACCCCUGUGUCAUCCCCCAUUGGCCCCGCGUUUCCGCUCAUCGCACACGCACGCAGUGGUUCAUCAUGGCCCUCGUCAUCGCGCGGUUUGCGAUCAAGGGCUCCGCCAAGGCCUUCUUCGUGUGCAACAGGUGCGUGUGUGUGUGUGUGUUUGUGUGUGUGUGUGUGUGUUUGUGUGUGUGUGUGUGCGUGUCGUAGCCCGUACGCCCGUGCGUGCGUGUUGGGCGAGCGGGCAAGCUGCCGGUCGUGGGGGACCCGGCUGGUCGUGGGGAGCCCGCGCGCGCGCCCGGUGCCUCAGCCGCCGCCGCACGCUGCCGCCCCCCAAGGAGCCAUGCCCCCGCCCCUGCACUGCACGCCCAAUGCCCCCCAUGCAAUGCACGUUCAAUGCAUGUGCAACACGCACAUGCCCAUGCGAUGCCGCCUGCACGCGCCCACCACGCACGCACACACCACGCACACACACCUCGCAGGACUCUGCCGCUGUAUGUGGUGAUCUGCGCGCUGCUGGCUCAGGGCCUGGACAGCAACGCCACCCUGGGCAACGUCAUCAGCGCCUACAAGUGAGUGUGCGCACGGGUGGUUUGCAAAGGUAGUGCAGGUGGUGGGGUGGGGAUGGGGCGGCGGCGGUGGGGUUAGGUCGGGCCGUGGUGCAGUCGGGGCGUAGUUGCGUUGCAUGUCGCAGCAGUUGCACACUGGGGCCUCCUGCUACAUACCAGCAGCAGGCUCACGUCACCGCCGGCGGAUGUUGAUUGGCCUCGGCGGCGUUCCCAUGAUAGUAACGGAGCAUACCUAUUUUACUGCGCCUGUUCGGCCCGGAUUAACACCCACCCUGUCUUGCUGCUGGUGCGCGCAGGUAUGGGUUCUGGGACGGGGCGGUUCUGCCCAUUGGUCUGGGCAUCUCACUGGUGCUGGUGAGUAGCAGGUGGAAGUUGUCGGCCUCGCAUGUCACGUGCAACACACACACACACACACACACACACACACACACACACACAUACUGAUCCGCCCACAUCCCAUCAUGCCCCACACGUGUUCAUGUCCAUCCGCAACCCACCACCACCUGGCCACCAGCCACUGCUACGCACUGCACUCACCGGUCCCCGUCACUGCUGCCGCCACCCCACGCCGCCUACCCUCCACCCUCUUUAUCAGAACGGCAUCUUCCUGGCGGCCCCCAUCAACCGCAUGGGGCUCUUCACACUGCCCGAGCUGUACGCGCGCAAGUACGGGCCGCUCAUGGAGGUGAGGCGGCGGGGGCGAGUGAGGGAGGAAAAGGGAAAGGGAAAGGAGGCGGGAGAGGGGGCGGGGGAGUAAGGCGAGUAAGGACCGCCCAAAGGUGAGGGGGCGGGCGGGAAGGGGAUGGGGGUGUUCUCGCCAAGCCUAGCAAGCAAUGGGAGACACGAUGAAGCAGGACACGACGAGCUGAACCGUCAGAGGAGGGGUAGAGGGGCAGGCGCAUGCAUGAAGCGAGGGGGAGGGUGCAAUCGAGGGGUUUGUUAUGUCAAGGCGCGGUGCGUGUGGCGUGCUGCGGCAUGCGUGACGACGGCUUUGGCAUGGGAUUGCAUGAGGAAAUCAUGAACGGGGCGGCGUUACGUGGGCAUGGGGUUGCAAGAAAGGAAUGAUGAACGGCAAGCGCAAAGGCUGAAAUCUGCACGUAUGGGUCCAAUCAGGCUAAGACCGCGAGGACGCUCACGUAACAAGUGUACACGCACGCACGCACGCACGUGUGUCCACAGGUCAUUGUGUCGUGCAUCGAGAUCUGCUCCUUCCUCUUCCUGCUGGCUGGUGAGUUGGGCGCGAGCAACACAAAUCGCCAGGGCAAGGGCCGGCCAUGUGCGCACGCACGGCAUGGCACGCAGCGGCCGACACGUGGACAAACCGGGGGGGGGGGGAGCGCGCGCCUGCGUUGCUGUGUGUAAAUAGCAGGAGGCCACCCAGCAGUACCGAUACCUCCACAGCGCAUGACACCCCGUGGCCAACAAAGAUCAUGAGAGGCUGCGGGCGCUCCGGAGGGUGUGAGGGCCCGACGGCUGUGCCGCUCAGUGCGUGUGCUAGGAGCUUACAGGUUCGGGCGCAGCCCCGUCGUCUCGAACAGGAAUCGCUAGUAGCGAAGUGUCUCGUAACAACCGGCCAAAGCACUGGGCGUGAGGUGUCUGAUUAUCGGCGCCAGCAACCGCGCUCCCAUGCACUCUCAUGUGGUGCGGGCGCCUUGCUUGCUUGCCUACGUACCAUCCCAUCCGCCCUCCAUACCACGUGUGUGAGCGUGUCUGACUGGCUGGCUGCCUCUCGCUCUGUGUACUUGUGCGUCUCACAGGCAACUUGGUCGGUAUCUCGCUGGUGCUGUCCUUCUGCUUCGGCCUGGCCAAGGGUGGGUGCCAGCGAGCGGCGGGGUGCCAUGUGUACCGUACACACAGCGGCGGCCUGCCACUACCUGCUGUGAUGACCUGCCGCCCACGCCUGGGAAUAGUGAUGUCGGGAGGGGUGCUGCCAGCUGGGAAGACGUGGGAACGCCGCACACGUCCGACUAUGGGAACAGGAGCAUUCAGGCUUAUCCCCCAUAUCAUGCCGUGUCAUCUGCCGCCGGCCCUUCAGCGGCCGCUGGGACCCCCGAACCACCGGUAACCCACGCGCACGUGAGCCACGCACGCAACACGUGUGCGUGUGCUUCCUGCUUUUGCAGGCGUUUCUCUUGCCAUCGCGGGUGUGGUGCUGGCCCUGUACUCGGGCUCUGGCGGCCUGUUCUCUGUGGCCCUGACCGAUGUGCCCCAGGUGCGGCGCGGCUAGCUAGGGCGGUGGCCAUGGGUUCACGUAGCUAGGGCGGCGGCCAUGGGUAUACGUAGCUAGGGCGGCGGCCACAGGUGUACGUAGCUAGAUAGAGCGGCGGCAGCAGGUUGUUGGCCUGCAUGUCAGACGGACCCGCUGUGUGCCGUGCGCCUUUGUUGGCUGCUGGAAAUGAAUCGUGUCGGUCAUUACUCACGUUGUGGUGCACUCGGUUGCCCACUGUUCACCCGGCGGUAACACCUGCACGGUAUACGUCCGCACACGCCCGCCCGCCCGCCCGGACACACACACACACACACACACACACACACACACACACACACACACACACACACACACACACAGGUGAUCGGCGGCUUCACGGCCUUCAUCGCGACCACCAUCUACGUCUUCACCCACGACCCACAGCCCCACGCCGCGCCGCCCUCUCUUGGCUUCGCGCUGGACCUGGGAAACAACGUCACGGUGCGUGUGCUGUCUCGCUCGUCGUCGCGGCGGCGGUGGCGAGGUGGAUGCGCUCACAACAUACACAGCACCUGAUUGCCAUGGUCAAUGGCGUGCUGACCCUGCAUCACGCAAUCCCCACACCGCUUCGCCCAUUCCCCUGCUGACACCCAGCGCUCCCGCCCACCGGCAUUCACCCACACAAACACACACGUACAUGCGCAAACACAGGCCAUCACACCCGGCUACGCUGGCCCCCUGGACUGCGUUGACCCCGUCACCAACGCCUCCACCUGCGACAACUACGCCUACCCCGUGGGCGACCAAAUCAUUUGGCCCAACGCCAUGACCAACUUCGGUGAGAGGCUAAGAGCAAACACAAAGACAGGAGCACACACCAGCAACCGCAAUCAUACAUCAGCACUCCUGCAUGCACGGACGCGCGCAUAUACGUACGGCUUGCUAAUGGCCCUGCUGGUGACAUCCAACCCGCUGCUCGCGGUGGUGCUGCUGCAUGCGUGCAGACGCCUACGCGCCCUUCCCCAACGCGCUGUUCUUCAACUGGGUCACCAUGUUCGUGCUGGGCCUGGGCAACCUGUGCGCGCUGGACUUCCAGGUGGGCGGCAGGUGGCGAUGGGCACAGUGGUGUGUGUGUGUGUGUGUGUGUGUGUGUGUGUGUGUGUGUGUGUCUGUGUGUCUGUGUGGCUUCGGCUCCAUUAUGUAGCAGAUGGGAUGGGUGUGCCCAACGGGCGUUCUGGGUGUGCCCAGCGGGCGUUUUGGGUUAUCUGGUGCUACUCGGGCCGCGCACUGCCCCCGUGCACGACUGCUGCUGGGUCUAUCUGCCGCCGUCUGGGCUGGUCGCCUGUCAGCUCGUGUGCCGUGUGUGGCGUGCAUGUCAUUGUACCUAUCCAUUCGCUGGCUGGUAAUAACGUACAUGGGUGUGUCGGGCGGUGUGGUCACCUCUGUUGCUUGCCUGACCCUCCUCAACCACGCCCUUGACCAUCCACAUCCACACCUACCCGUGCUCGCUCUGCAGGCGCGCUGCAUGGCCUCCAAGACGCCCAACACAGCGCGUAUCGCGAACCUGGUGGCCGGGGUGGUGAGUCCGCAGAUGAUGGGCAUGCCCUGCUGCUGGUGCAUGGAGGGCACCUGGGACGCAGCGGUGUGGACUUGGGUGUGUUUGGAGGGUAGGUGCAUUCCGGUUAUCCAGGAACGGCGUGAUGCUCUCACGCAAACAGCGACACGUGCCUCUCCUCGCCCGCUCAUCACCUCGACUCUCACCCUUGCCCUCUACUACCUCGCAUCUUUCUGCUGCCGCCCUACCUGCUGCUCCGUCCCUCGCUUGCUCGUGCCGCCAGCUGCUCAUUGCCAUCUGCCUGCCGUUCGGCCUGCUGGCCGGCCUGGCGCGCAAGUACUUCGGACCCGACUCACCGGUGCGUGUGUCCUUCAUUGGGCGUUUGGGUGGGUGCCCGCGGUUGGGUAAAAGGUUUGCAGUCUUUGCACAAUCGGAAACGGAAUGAGACGAACCCACCAUGGGCGGCAGUGGCAGCACGCUGUUAGUUGUGGCGUUGUGGGUGGGAAGUGUGUGCGGGGGAUAGUGCACGCGUGCGGAUGACAUGCGGCACUCGGUGGACACAUACUGGAGCCGAAGCCACCCACCCGCACCCCCACACACACACACGCACACAACCACACAUACACACACACACACACACACACACACAGUCCUGUGUGUUUCCUUUCCCGGUGUCCUCUAACGCCAUGUCGAUUCGCCGCCCUUGUGUUUCCGACACGCAGUACGCCGAGUUCACAGCGGACACGUGCUCCGCGCCGCUGGGCCUGCCCACGUGCGCCGAGUGGGUGCCCGAGAACCGCACGGCGCUGUUCCAACUGCUGUGGCUGCACGUGAGUAGUGGUGCACGUGCUUCCGUCAGGCGCGCGGGGCGGGCUUGCUUGCACCAGGAGCGGGGUCACACAGAGGGAGAGCCUCUGUGCGCAUGUCUACCCCCUCACUCGCCCACGCUGCGCAACUUACCACAAUGCGCAUGUAUGCUUACUUGCAUGGUGCGGCACCUUUACGUGGCACCUGCUGUCAAAACGGCACCGCAGGCGCCCAAGGCUCUGGGCGCCUGGACCAUGGUAGCCAUCGUGACCGCCUCCAUGUCCACAGCUGACGGCGCCAUCCUGGCCACAUCGUGCGUCAUGGCGCACAACAUCUGGCGCAAGGUGUGUGUGGGGGGGGGGGCGUGUGGGGGCGGGUUUGUUCCUGUUGGGUGGGGGGGCGGGUGUUGUUGAUUGGGUGUGCGGUUGGGGUGUUGGAAUGGUGCGUGGGGUGUUGGAAUGGUGUGUAGGGGGGUUAGCUGGGGGGGGCUGUGGGUCGCCGGGACCUGGCCAGGACACCACCCGACUCGCCAGAAUGUCCGCACGCGCGCCUGCCGCUGAGCUCAUCACCAGCCGCCUCCUCGCCUCACCACCUGCUCGCUCCCGCUUCCCCUCCGCCCCAUCGAUCGCCCCCCUCCCCCCCCCCCACACACCACCACCACCACCUCCUUCCCUCCCACCAGGUGCCCAGGUGGGGCACCAGCGAGGAGAACCUGCUGUGGGUGGCCCGCAUCUUCCACGUGCCCAUGACCCUCACGGUGUGCGCGUGUGUAUGUGUGUUAAAGAGCACAAGGAAAACAUUACGCGUAGGACAGUGUAUGCGAUGCAGAAUUACGGCCGCGGAUUACCUUCAGUGUGUCUGUGUGUGUGCGUGGGGAAAGCGGGUUUCGUGUCGGGAGCGAGCGUCGCGGUAACAGGCAUCUUCGGGCAUCUGCGUGCGUGCAAUGCGUGCCGCCUGCUGCUGCCCAUGACCCCGCUCCGCGCUCUCAUCUCCUCCACACAAAGCUACCACCCAAACCCAAGCAAUGCAUUCCUGCCUACCCCACCCCAGCCCACCACCACGAUGCACCCCACCCCAAUCCACCAACACCAACACCACCGCCACCAUGCACCCCGCCUACACCCCCUGACCCCUGCAGGCCUGCUUCAUCGCGGCGUGGGCCUACAACCCCGCCUACCUGCUGGUGGUGGCCUUUGACAUCGUGCUGGCCGGCUGCCUGGUGCCGCUGCUGGCGGCCGUCUACUACCCGCGCGGCUCGCCCAACGCGGGUGGGUGCGUGCGUGUGCCACGUGCUUGUGCUGCGCACCCAUUAAGUGUGUGGCGGCAUACACACACACGCGUACACACACUCUGCUGUCCCUGCCGACCCACACACAAAACGCAAACACACAAACACACGAAAACCGCGCACAGGCCUGCUGUCCUGCCUGGGCGGCUCCAUCCUGCGCCUCAUCCUGGAGUUCACACUGCCCAAGGACGGCAGCCUGGUCAUUGCCGGCAAAUACGCAUUCCUGUGAGUUUUCAGUCAUUUGAGUCGUCUGGGUGGGGGGCGAUGGGCAGGAUGAUAUGGAUAGCGCGGGUGGACGCGGAAUCGCUCACCUGCAAAGCAGUGUGCAAGUAAGAUGGGUAGGCUGAAAUUAAGGCGGGUGUGCUCAGGUAGAGGCGUUCGCGCUAGCUUACACAAGCAAACUCACCGGGUACGGCUGUUGCUGCACAACCACAAACACACAGGUACGGCAGCGGUCUGCCCGGCCUGCCCUCGUUCAUGACCAUCACGCCGGAGUCCGCCGCCGCGGAUGCGGGCGUGUGGAACCCCGACACCGAGGUCUGCGACCAGCGUGAGUGCCGCUGCAUGGCGGGGCCGGUUGUGGCGGGGACGGUGGUCAUGGUUGUGGCUGCAAUGGGUGCGUGAGGUUGCCGGCCGGCGGUCAAAGCAUGUUGCGACCGUCUGAUGGGAUUCGUUGGCAGCUCGCGCAAGAUAUACGCAGCUCCCAUGGCCUUUGCUGCAACGGCCACCGCCGCCUGCUCAUCAGGCAGUCAUGCCUGAUGCAACCCCGCCCGCCGACCGCUCUUUCCAUCUGCCCCUCUCGCGUUCUUCACAUCCCCGCAGCCCCCAUGAAGGACUGGACGGGCCUGGACUCGCUGGUCAGCCCGGCCUUCUCGCUGUUCCUCUUUGUCAGCGUCAGUGUGUUUGAGCGCUACUGGCCGGGCAUUGACAUUCUGUUCUUCAUCCCCAAGGUACGGACACCAGCUGCCUGCCCUGCACGCUCGUGCCACCAGCACCCAGUCCCAAACACUCGUCUUCCGCCCUCCUCACCUGCCCCCCUCCUCCCCCCCCCCUCCCGCGCGCCCACACGCACCCCCCGCCCCUGUUGCUUGACUACCGUACCGUGUCACAACCCGCCCUCCUCCUGCCCCAUGUACUAUCCUGCUGUGUCCUGGUGUCUCCACUCUCCACCUACUUUCUGACUGGGAAUGGCUGCAACAACAAUCCCGCCGCCCUCCUGCCUGCCCCGCACCACACCUCGCAGCCCUGGCGCGCCACCCAGCCCCUCUACCAGCUGGAUCUGGACCAGCAGCAGGUCGAUCCCGACAGCAGUCGCACGCCCGCGCUCGCGACCAGCAAGGCCGCCGAGGCCGCCGCCGCAGCAGCAGCCGCCAACGCCGCCGGCGUGCACCUCAAGGACGAUGCGUCGGCGCACGGUGGAACCAUGAUGCGUGCGGCGCUGGGGCUUGACGACGACCCCAUUGCCAAGGAGGUGCAGCUGACGGCGGGCGCGGCAGGGCUGCACCACCGCGCACAGCCGCACACCGGCGUCGAGGGCGUGUGAGGAGCACUGUUGGUGAGGGCAAGUCGUGAGGUUUGUGGCGGAGAUGCGUGCUGCGCAUGGAUGGGAGUCGCGCAGCAUGGUAAUGCCGCCAGUCGACAUAAAAGUGUAUACAGCGGGAGCACGCAUACCGGUACUCCCGUGCUUGCUAUAGAAACUGGGUUUGAUGUUGUUGUGUGUACGUGCGGGCGUGUGUGUGUGUGUGUGCGUGUGCAGUGCUCUUUCUGUCCCCUAUUCUCUCUUGUGUGUACGGUAGCGGCGGCGGCACAUGGGUGGGCAGCACGCAUGCGUGCCAAGGCAGCUGGGCCGCGCCGGGAAAGGCUUAUCCAUCCAGCUUAUCAUCAUCACCGGGGGAGUCAUAAGCGUCACUUCUUGGACUCACAGUGAUACUUUGGACUGUCAUCAGUAAUUACGUUAGCAGUAGUAACCCUGUGGGAAUGGGAAAGCGGGUGUUGCAAGUGCUUGCGCUAGCCCUCGGGAACCGGACUUACUAAUGACCGGCCAGAGCCGUGCCCCGUGCAUGGCGCGAAGUCGGAAAGCCUAAUACGGCAGUGAUGGAGUGCAUGUGUGCUUUCUGAGGGUGGGACCUAUGCUGGAGUGCUGUGCGUGGCCUAUGAAGCAGAGGUGGGGGGGGGCGGGAGCGGUUUGCCAGUCGGAUUCAGUGAGGCAGCAGCAACGUGCAGGCGCGUGGUGGCCAAUGCCGCUCUGGCUCAUGUGGCUGCAUGUCAGCUGUCGUUGAUUGGGCGGCCAUGUCUGGCCCCACAACAAGUGAUGCUGGCAAACUAAUCGCCAAAUUCCCACGCACGGAGCGAGGCCAUGCCUGAUGACGGAGCGCUAGCUAGGGACUAAGGCAGCAUCACAGACGAGCCGGGGGCUGAUUUUCCUAUGCCAUGAAAUGCUAUCAGCUGCAGUACUGAAUUUAAGCGCAUGGCGAUUUUACGCUUUUGGCGAGAAAGGUGUGUGCGCACGCGUUGGAACAGGGUACGGGGCAGGGUGGCGCAGGCCCGAUGGUUGGCAAGGCACACGGUAGGGAUGGGGCCCUAUGGGGCUAAUUUCAUUUACACGGACUGACCUGCGUGUUCAUUCGGUUUUGGUCGUCUCCGAUACGCUGACAUGGUAUAAUGGCAGCAGGGGAAUGUGCGCGCGUGAAUAUCAAGGUGUGACGCUACUGCAAUUUACGCUUUCCGUGAUACGGCAUUCUUUGUGUCGGGCACUGGUCGCUUGGGAUGCGUUGCUUUCUCGGGUAUGCCACUACCGCUGUAAAACAAUGGUACCUAGGCACAAGCUAGCAACUGCCGAGCGCAAUUCACAGCGGUAUGCUCUCCUGCAGCGGGGCACGAUGGCAUGUGAAUGCUGAAUGCUUAGUCCACGAGCCAUAUGGAUGGAGCACUGCAACCGCUUGCUGGUGGAUGUAAUGGCAUAUCUGUACCACGCAGGUAACAGGUUCAGCUGCAGCAUGAUAGCUUGCUGACAUGACAGCAAAGGGGAAUGUGGGCCCUCGGGAAGGGCGUGGAAGGGCGGCAUGAUGGACGUGUGUGGUCUCCGUGCCUUGGGACCAGAUGUUCUUCAGUGCCUGUUAUUUGAUUACACGUCUGUAUAGCUACCCUAAAUCAGAAAUGUUGUCCCAAGCCCACUCGCGCUUGCGGUGGCCGAAAACUGCACAACUUCCUCGCAGUCGGCUUCGGACUUCAGCCCCCCGGCCGAUUCGUCUCAUAUGCAGCGCAGUAUCAGCUCGCAGUGAGUGCAACUAAAUCGUGCUCUCAGUUUAGACUUGGCGGGCAAUGCCUUCAAGGUUUCUUGGACGUGCCGACGCAGGGAGCUAUUACGAUAUUUUGGGUGUGGAGCAGACUGCUGCAUCGGAGGAAAUCAGGGCGGCAUACCGGUCGCUGGCGAAGGCGUUCCACCCGGACGUCAGCCAAGAGGUGUGAGAACGCCGCAGCUGUCAGCACGUUGUGGCAGGCUCGGGUCGGGUCGGGGCAUGACGCAGCGCUCUAGCGGGGUCUAUGGCCACUCCCCUUCCACACCCCUAAGAUAGUUAUAGACCCUGUUGCCUUGGCCAGGCUCUAUGACUAUCUUACGGGUGUGGGGGUGCGCGAGGGUCAGCCCGCGGCGUAUGGCGGCAUGCACGCACGCAGCUCGAUGCAUGCACGGUAUGCCCACGCCAGGUGCGGUCACAGCGCCGCUCCGCGGCAAGCAGGCACCCACGCGACACAGCAUGCGUGCUGCCACUGUUACACUGUCACGCAUCGGCACGUUCGCCUUGUUGAUAUUGAUUCUUGUUGUUGUUGUUCGCACAUGCAGGAGGACUCGCACGAGGUGUUUGCGGAGAUCAACAGCGCCUACGCUGUGCUGUCAGACCCGGAGGAGCGCGGCCGCUAUGACUACCUGUGGCGCUAUGAGCAGGUGCGCGUGUGUGCGUGUGUGCGGGAGAGAUAGGGGGUUAGUUGUACGCAAAAGCCCAACGAAUGGCUCCCAGACUGUCAGGGGGGGCCAAGUCCAAGCCCGGGGGGUUACGGUAACGGGUGCAAGCGCGCACCUGCCUCCACUUUCGGCGUGUCUCAACUGCAGCCGUAUAUGCUCGCCACAGGCUUUUCGCAGUCACAUUGUUGUCGCCACAACCUGCAAUUGCACCAAGAAACACGCCCUUCCCCUCACGCACAGGCUCGUCUGGAGGCCUCUGGCGGCGACCCCGACCGGCCCCUGACGCCCGAGGAGGCGGAGCGCGCGGCGGCCCUGGACAAGCUGGAGGUACGCAUGGACUGCGCUUGUGCUGCCGCGCGCAUGUCUGUGUGUAUGCGUGUGUGUGUGGGUGUGUGUGUAUAUGUGUGUAUGUGUGUGUGUGUGUGUAUGUGUGUUAAAAAACGAAACGAAAGCCCGCCCAGACGACGCCGGAGUUACUUACCGAUACCCACCAUUUUACCGAGCGUCGCGUGACUGUCGUGACCCAGGUAGUCAUACUUACCCGCGAUAAGCCUGGAACCCCACGGGCGACCAUUCGGCCUGACCCCGCGAUGCACCUGUAUGCGUCCAUGCUCCGCACCCUGGGCGCGCUAAACAACGUUUACCCAGCACGCCUAAUUCCCGGAUUCCCGCCCGCUGGUCGUAGUCGAGCUGUAUGUGUGUGUAUGUGUGUGUGUGUGUGAUGGCGUGUGAUGGCUGUGAUGGUUUUUGUGCGUAUGCGUGCUCGCGCAUGCGUUACUUGCGGAGACGCAGGAGCCACAUAUGCCCUUGCACGUGACCGGGCUGCUGAGUGACAGCUGACGUGCCGGUCGCGGAGCGCCCCUACGUGUCUGCAAGCAACGCACCGUAACAGCACGACUGCCGAUUGUGUGGCUCGCAGGAAGUGCACCGGGAGGCUGAGCGGGCGCGGCGGCUGGCGAAAGAGGCGCGGCGGGCGGCUGAGCGGGCCAAGCGGCAGGCGGCGGCGCAGGUGUGCAAGCGAUGGCCGCUGUGUGUGUGGGUUUGGAUCUGCUGUUGCAUGCAUAUGCUCUCCGGUAUGCGAGAUGACGACAACUGACCAUGCACGGCUGUUUAGGCAUCUGCAUGGAGAGUAGAAGUGCGUGCGUGCGUUCUCAAGACAUCCUGCCGUGGGCUCGGCUUUGACCGCAGGCACGCGAAGUAAAGCGCCAAGCGGCUGCGUCAGCCGCGGAGGCGGCAGCAGCUGCUGCUCGGAGGGCGGCUGCGGCCGGUACCGCUACAGCUGCAACGGCUGCAGCUGUAGCAGCAAGCGCGGCAGCGGCGUCGCAGAAACAGCCCGCAGCGGGCGCGGAGGCAGUGGGGGCGACAGCGACAACCGCGAGGGGGGGAGUGGGGCGCCAGGCGGAGCCGGCGCGGGGCCCAGCGGCAGAACGGGAGGCACGCCGCGCGGCGCGGGAAGCGGCGCAGGCGGCGAAGCGGAAGGCGCGAGAGGCGCGGCGGCAUGCAUCUCAGGUGGGAAGGGCAAAGCUGUUGGCAUUCGCGCGGUCCUGUGUGUGCUGCAUGGUUGCGUUAACCAAGUCUCCCUGUUCUUUCGCGGCCUUGCACACCAUACGGUACGUUAGUUGCAUGCGUACCCUACAUGUUGUUCCUGUCUGUGCGCUGCCCUUAGGUGCGGUAUUGGGCUCAGUGGGCCGAGCACGAGGUGAAGACGGUGCGCCAGACGGCGGGCCUGGAGCCAGUGCCGUCCUCGCCGGAGGAGCAGUUGCUGUGGGAGUGGCAGCAGCUCCAGGCGCGGCAGCAGCAGCAGCAGCAGGAGCAGCAGCAGCCGCGAUCAGGUCAGCGGCAGCAGGGGGGCCGGAGGGCGCGGGGCGGUGCCGCUCGGGGCCAGGAGGGCGGCGGCAGCGGUGGUGGUGGCGGCGGAGGCUGGGAGCCGCCGGCGCCGCCGCCUGAGUGACGCCACGUGGCCGCUCGCCUUGACAUCCAGCUCCUCCGAUCCCCAACAGCUCCGUCGCCAGGGGUCAGGAGUGCGGCGGUUUGCCCGGCGACGCGCGCUGGGGCUGCCUGCUUGAUCGCCAUGGAAGCGGCAGGUGCAACUGCACGUGCGCGCGGUCCCUUCCAGUUGACAGCUGAUGGCGGCGGGCGGCCGCCGCACCCACGCACACACGCGCAGCACAACACACACGCGCAGCACAGCGCAGCACGUUCCCCGACUGCGACACACGGCGACGCAGCUCGCCGCAGCGCAUGCGGUGCACCACCGGCACCCGCCCGCUGGCCUCCGGCCGCUCGCCACACCGCCGAGGCGGCGCUUCGGCGCUUCGCUCACGCACAGUCUCACCGCGGACGUGACCUCAUUUGGCGUGGGGUUUGAGUGUGUCGACGGAAUGCUGCGGCGUGGGAAGACGCGCAGGGUGGCGGCACAGAGUAGCGACUAGCGAGUGCGCUAUGCAGUCUAUGCUGCGGCAUCCCUGCGGCGUACCUGCAGCACGAUGUACGGUCACCAUUGCCAUGAUGGCGGGUCCUGCUUGUGCCGCAGCGCGAGUCUCCACUCAACCCGCCUUGGCUAGGGGGGGGGGCAUGUGGAUGCCCCCUGGCCGUGAUCGGAUCAUGCCACAGGACCAGCUCACCAGCAUCAGGGCGCGCUUCUGGCGCCCCCUCGUGCUGCUAGCUAAACGUGUUAGUUGCUUUAGGCUGCUCAUGACUCACGUGUGUUGGGGCACUCUACGGUGCCGUUUGCGGGUCUGAAUGCAAGCGCGCACAUUGCGUGUUACAAUGGAAGACGGACAGGAGGGGGCCACGCGCAGUGAGGCAGCCCAACGUGCUGUAGCAAUGAAACCAACACGCCACGCGCUUUGCAGACUGCCUCCUCACAGUUCCAGUGCUCCACAACUCACAACUCAGAACUCCGCACAGUCAGCAACUGCCGGCAUCGUACUCGUGCAGCCCGAGCUGCCCAACCCAACCACCACUCAGCCAUUCGCCAACCUGCCUUAACCUAUAUCGUAUAAUUCGUAUUCAUGCAGCUCAACCCAAAGAGCGCCCAGUCAGUGUAAGCGCCCUCGCACGCGUAGGCUAAAAUACAAUUUCGCCCACGGCCAGUAUAGGUGACCGAAUCGUGUUCGGUACACACGUGCCGUGGCGCCGGUCUCCCAAGGUGGAGUCAGCUCACUGCUGCAUGGUCCUCAAACGGUCAUGUGUCAGCACGUACUACACGAAAUGCAAUAUUGUCAACCAAUUGCAACAUGGUGAUCAGCAAUCGGCGUUGUGAUCAGCCUAAGGAGUCAUCCGUUAUCAACCACGGCAUGCAGCCAUGCACCCAUCUCGGCCGUAAUCGCUCGCUCCCAGGCGUGCGUGCUUGAUGCUCAAAGGCAUCGGCACAGCACGGCACGGCACGCAACCAAAAUGCACACACACGCACCGACAUAAAUUGACCUCUGGCCCGCACGCCGUUGAACCAGCGCCAGUGGGUGCCAGCGCCCGACGACACAACAACAACGUCGCUUUGUCCCUUCGAAUCGGAUUGUCCUCAACCCAAACCCAAUGGAAUGUAUGAAUAACCUCUCCGGAACGGGGAUCAAGGUUCUCCACCACGAUUUCCCGUGCGAACGCGAAGACCGUUUACCUUAUCUAGAUCAGCCAGGAUCCGCUGCGGUGCAGCUUUCCUGCAUGUCGUGUGGCGUCGCGCAUACACACAACAUACAUGCACCAACGGUAGCAACAACAAAAUUUGUUCGGCGUGAGCGCCGUGUUGUGUCAAGUACGCAAGUUACGCGCGCGCAUGAGGUCCACCGUUUCAAGUGGAAGGCGAGAGCAGUGCAAAGUCCUCUCGCAAGUUGUAUUCGUGCCUCUGGCACAAGAAGAGGCAGCGGACGGCAGGGUAAUGCACACAUGCACCAUGCGGAAUGCCUAUGUAUAUGUGACCAACCAAGCUGCCGGUCACCGGCUGCGCCGUGAUCCCAACGACGCCCAACCGGCAGCCUACAAUCAGCCCAUUCCUUCAUUCCCGGCCGCUCAGAAGCCCGCGAGCGACCAGCGGCAUGGUGCGAAACUCGCGGCAGUUCAGCCCACCUCUCCCUUCCUCGCUCAGAAGCCGCCCCGCAGAUCGCUCAGAAGCCGCCCCGUGGCGCGCCGCCGCCGCACACGCUGCGCCCUGUGCGUGCCGGGCUAACCGCCCAACCCGCAGCCGCGGGCCGCGUGUGCGCCUGCAUGCCACCUAUCCGUCUACGCCCGAUGCGACUGCUGACUCGACUGCGUCUGCACUUGCUGCGGCUGCCGCCGUGACGCCUUCAUGAUGUCUUCAUCUUCCGAGUCCAGCGGCCCAGCGUCGCUGAAGUCGUCUGCCCACACGCCCGGCUGUUGUGGCUGUUGCUGUUGCGCCUGCUGCUUGCGGGACUGCUGUUGCUGCAGCUGCCGCAGCUGCUGCGACUGCGACUGUGACUGCGCCGACGACAGCCUGUGGCCACCCACCAUGGGCGAGUGCUGCUGCGAACGCGAGUGCUGCUGCUGCUGCUGCUGCUGCUGCUGCUGCUGCUGCUGCUGCUGCUGCUGCUGCUGCUGCUGCAGCAUGCCCAUUUGCGAUGUCGAAACCAUCGGCGAUGGCUGCUGCGACCGCGACGACGCCUGUGAGCUGGACGGCGGUGCCGCCGCCAGCGACCCAGACCGCUGCGGCGACGGCGCCUGCGGCCGGCUGCCGAUGCUCGCCUGCACCCCGCUCGGACUCGUGCGAAUGCCGCCGCCCGUGCUUGUGCGCACCCCGCCCCCCGUGCUCGUGCGCUUGCCGCUGCCGAAGCUCGGGUCCCACGCCGUGUCAUUGGUGCUGUGGCUCCCGGGCCGGAAGCCCGCCGCCACUGCAGCCGCCACCGCCGCCGCCGCCGAGGCCGGCAGCGCCGCCGCUGCGUUGCCAUUCAAGGCUCCCGGCAGCCCCGCCGAGUCCAGGUCAAUUCCGGACAGCCGCAGGGCCGCCUGCACCUCGGCCGCGUUGGCGUCUGCCUCGCUGCCUCCCGCCUCCAGCCCCGGCGCGGCCAGCAGCAUGGUGCAGAACUCGCGGUAGUUCAGCCGGCCGUCCUGCGUGGAGUUUAAGCGGGGGUUGCAAGGUUACAACAUUGGGAACAGCAUACAAGCAGGGGAGGCGGGGUUGCAGAGUUAAGGGUGAGAGCGGGGAGAGCGCGGGCGUCCGGCGGCGGGGCGAAGGAGGAGGACGUCGGCAGAAGGUGGCGGAGAAGGAGGCUGCACGGCCACACGCGGCCGCCUUCACAGGUCCCACAGGCCCCCCAGGGCCCCACCUUGUCCAAGUCCGCCUCCGCCAGCAGCCCCGUGACGCUCUCUCGCGCUGAGGCGGCCGAGCUGGCGGCGGCGGGCAGCUGGGCCAGCGCGGCGGCCAGCUCCUCCCUGGCAGAGGGCAGCAGGGGGUGGCAGCGGGUGACAGAGGGGGUUCCAUGCAUGUUAAAUAAGACGAGAGGGCGUAGCCAGGAGCAAUGGUACAGAUGUCACGUAGGGGGGGGGAGACCGCCGGGUGAGUGACAGCGUGGCAGGGUAGGUAGGGGCACGGGAGGAGUGGCGGCACUCUGUGUGAGAAACCCCACCGAGGCAUUGCACCAGCAGUUACUCACUUGCUGAUGUAGCCGUCUCCGUCCAGGUCGAAGUGGCGGAAGGUCUUGAGCAGCACGUCGCUCUGCUGCAGCUUGCUCAGCGUGUAGGUGGCGGCCACGAAUUCGCGGUAGUCCUGGGGCAUAGUUGAGGCGCAGGUGGGGCGCAUUGAGAAUGAUAAUUUGACCUGACAAAACGAUGUGCUACUAUGCGUAUGGGAUAGUUUGCGGUGAUAAGAUCGCAGCUGGCAAAAGCGCAGCUGACAUUGGCGCUGACAAUUCGAGGUGAAAGCAUUUAAGGGGGAGCUGCUUUCCGUUCCUCGUUCGGGUUGUGGGGGGUCUUAUUCAUGUGGAUCCAUACAGGCUCCCCCCCUCCCGCGUCCCUGCUGUCCCCAUACGCCGCAGGGUUGCUUGGGUGACGACAGGCAACGGAAAGGCGCACCCAGCCAGGCACCAGCACCGGCGUAACAUGCACGCACACGCAUAACGAUGCUGUGGUUGUUCCGGGUAUUGAUAUGAUGUAACUAUCUGAUAAGAGCGCAGGUGCCAGAAGCGCGUCUGAUAAACUGUCACCUCAGUUCCUUUCAU
RNAcentral lists this long non-coding RNA (74013 nucleotides) under Chlamydomonas reinhardtii. RNAcentral's name for it is "long non-coding RNA (CREI_LNC000017)". Lineage: Eukaryota; Viridiplantae; Chlorophyta; Chlorophyceae; Chlamydomonadales; Chlamydomonadaceae. The record is from RNAcentral.